GAAAAGAAUCGCUCCCCUCCCACGAGUUCCCAAAAAAGGGUUUGCCCUAACUUCUCACACCUGACCCCUGCGGCGGUGCGGCCUGCCACCGACCCCUGCGGCGGUCGCCCUCUUCCCUUCCGGCCGGUCGUCGAACGCCAUCGCGGAAGCCCUCCUCUUCAGAAAUCGAAGACCGAAGAUCGGGUCCUUCACUCUUCAGAAAUCGAAACCCUCCUCGUCGCCUCUUCCUCUUCCGCUUCCGCUUCCGCUAUCAACGCUAGAUCAGUAAAUCGGGUGGUUCUUACAACAGGUACGCGAUUUGAGUUUUUCGGUGGUUCUUCAAAGCAAAGUUGCAGCGUUUAGUCCAUCUGAUGGAUACUUUUUUAUACACAAUGGUGAGUGCUUAAUUGAAUGUGUCCAUUCUUCUGUUAUGCACAAAGAAGACCCAAACAUAGUGUAAAUAAUAAUCUUAAUUAACUUAGGGACCAGGAACUCUUGAUAUUAUACUAGUCAAUUUAUAUCUUGUCGUCACUUGCAAAGGAAAAUUUUGUUGUGGUCUUUCAUGGACAAUUGACUCAGUGGGUUUCUACUUAAUUUUUGAAACAUAACUUUUUAGUAUUAGAAAUGCAGCAAUUUUCACUAUAUAAUGAGAAGAUCUGGAGAAUAAGAGUUUGAAAGUUUAACUGUAGAAUCCUUCUCUUUCUCUAAACUCCGGGUUUCCUAUAUUAGUCUGCGUUAAGUUUUGUUAAUUGUUGUUACAUUCAUUAAUUUGCUUAUUGUUGUAUGAGAGUGAAGAUGUCUAGCUUUUAUGUAUGUUUAUAUGUGAAUUGUGUGUUGUAUCUUUAUGUUUAUUCAAGCUUUUAUGUAUCUUAUAUAAUUAAUAGUGAACUUUAUGUAUCUUUUAUUUAUUUACUGUUUAGACUUUAGAAUUUAGAUAUGCUAGCAUGCAGUUUGGAAUAUGCAAAGUGCAAUUUCAUUUGUAUUAGUUUUAACUAUGCUUGUAUGUGAACCGUUUAUAUUUCUACCAUUAUAAAUAUGGACUAUCUUGAUCUCUAUUUGCUUAAUUAUUUCUUUAUUUUGAGGCAUAAUAUAGUUUACUAUUUUUUUUUACUUAGUUUAAUUUUGUAGCUCUUUAUUCUUAUAUUCUUAAAAAAUAUGAAUAUUUAUGCUAAUAGCAUAAAUCUUGAGAGAAAAAAAAAACUUAAUUUAGUAGCCGAAUUUUUGAUCCCGAAUUUUUAAUCGGUGAACGUAUAAUAUCCGUAUAAAUCACGUAUCUGAAUAAUUGGCGAAUCCGUUUUUUAGCCCUUUUUUUCAACGAAUUUAAAAAUUAGAAGACGAAUUUUAUCCGAAUUAUACCCGUACCGAAUUUUUGCCGAAUCCGAAUUAACUAACUAUGGCCACAACCAUUAUAAUCUAGCAUUAUAUUACUAUAUUAAACCAAAUGUUAUAAUAUAAUAUCGGUACCAAUUUGAUUCAGAAAUUUCAUAUACCUAAUUAUGUUAAAAUAUCCAGUAAUACUAUACAACGCGAACCAAACACGCCCAACUAUCUAGCUUCCAUUUCUUACUCUAGACUCAUCAACUUGAAUAUAUGUUAUAUGUAUCAUUAGAACUAAGUGGGAAGGAGAAGGAAAUGAGCAAAAAUAUAUAAUUUUUGUUUUUAUCUACGAGUGAUAACACAUCGCGCAGAUUGCACUAGUUUGGUUGAAAUAUAAGUUCUGGUUAACUACGUUCCGAAAAAAUAAAAAGAAAAAGAAUAUCUGUGUAUGCUUCUAUUCCAACCCCUUCUGGUCUAAUAACAUGCUCCCUAAAAGUUGAAAUAGAAAGGAAUCAAAUCAAGGAUGGGGCUUGAGUAUUAAGAAAUUAUCAACCACCCAUAUAAUAACCGACCGUCCCUAAAGCAAGUAGCAAAGGGCUUGGUGGUUGGUAUCCGAGGUCCCAGGUUCGAAUCCUAGUUGAUUCACAUUUUCAGCUAAGUUUAUUUCUAAAUAAAAUAAACGAAGCGGAUAGCGUGCUAUCUAUCUCUCUCAAAAAAAAAAAAAAACCACCCAUAUAAUAGGGGACAAAAAAAAAAAAUUAGAGUUGAGAUCCAUGUAUAAUACAUAGCGUAUAACACUUCUAUUUAUUUAUUUUUUUUUUAGAGAUAGGUAGUAUGCUACCCACUUCGUUUAUUUUAUUUAGAAAUAAAUUUAGUAAAAUAUGAACCAAGUAGGAUUCGAACUUGGAAUCUCGGAUACCAACCACUAAGCCCUUUGCCACUUGUACUAGGGACGGUCGGUAACAUCUCUUUUUGUUUAAACACCAUUUCUAUAUAUAAUCAACAAUAUUAUCCUGAUUAGACUCUUAUUUAUACCCUUGACAUAAUAUAAUUGAUAUGAAAUAUAUCCUAUGUAUUGUAACUGUUAUAAAGAAGACUUUUUUUUCGCUUGAUAUUUGUGCGCUAAUUUGGACCCGAUCGAGUCAGCAGUUUUUGUUAACAAAAAAAAAAAAAAAAAAAAAUUUCCUAAAGAGCGGUUUCUCGAGGAGGACGCAAUUCCAUUUUGCAACGUCUCUUUGUAGACAGUCGACGGCCUACGGAAUCAUGAGAUAGCGAGCGGCAAAUCACUACACCUCCUGAAGGACUUUUCUGAUUGUUCGAGCAUCCGAGUUUACGGUGUCUCGCUUAACACUGUUUUUUGACAGCUCACGAUAUACCAUUCGUUAUGUCGCGGUUCAAGCACUCCAUUUGAUUUGGUAUGAAUCCAUAUAGUUGCCGCAUACCUCUUCGAAACGUGUCGAUCACCACUAUUUUUGACUUCCUCGCAGCUUAUGGCUUGUGGAUUCGACUUCCCUGCGAGGUAUAUCGGCCUCCCACAGUCAUCGAGCAGCAGUAAAACUCUUGUUCUUUAAGACAGUUUGAAGAGAUCGCAAGAGAGUAUGCGACGUUCGGUUAUGCUUCGAAUCUGGUUCAAGUAAGAAGGCCAAUUUUCUCAGCUAGUCAGCUUGAGGUUCCUACUUGCAACCUUUUGGACGCGCGGUAUCAAACGACAUGAUCAUAGCGGUAAGCUUCAAAAUCGCGAGAAGGUGAUUGUGUUGAUUGGCUUUUGCAGCAUAGUUGGUCUUUCUAUUCCUCACAUUUCCCAUACGCCGACCGUCUCGACUUCGUCGAUCUAUUGAGGUGCGAAGGUAUCAUUCUCUAGAUUAGAUUUGCUUCGAUAACGGCAGAUGCAAUAGCAUCUCCUCGAUUGGAGGCGGAGCAACUAACGGCGAUUCUUCAGAAAGCGCCUCCCUUGAUCAACAACUCCAUCACUCGUUUAGUUAUCUUCGACAUCUUCGACAUGAUCCUCAUGUUUGCAAUAAUGUCAAGAGAGAAACCCGCAGCAUCGGCCAUCUUUUCAUCGUAAGCGUUUUUACGCUUCCACUUACCUUCCGAAUAGCUUUUCGACACUUUUGACCAUUCUUUCGCUUCGACUGCUUGACAUGGUGGUUAGUGUGUCUUUUUCUGCGAUGUCGUAUUUGACGACUUUUAUAUCAUCUCUUCUUAGCUUGCAACCUUUUCGUGAGGAUGUUAGCUCUUUGCGACGUUCCACUCCUUACUUUACGGGAUACGCCAAGUGAACCAAGGUAUUCCAUACUGAGACAAACCACGGUGACGAUUGAUCCGAUAAAAAGAAGCCAAAGCCACUUGCUCAAUCAAAGAAAAAAGAAUAGCUGGUAAAGCGAGUUACUUUAGUUUGUAGAGAGAUGAUCUCACUUUACAUUGAAAAUAACGCAUCAGGUUCGACUACAAAUAGGAACAAAAGUAGGAGUUGAGUAAUGAAAUCUCAAACGGUUCCGAUAUUGCAUCAUAUAAAGUGCCGAGAUGCUUAGGAAUUGUGUGAUCGGAUUACCUUUACUGCGAUCGUUGAGUGUAAGCGUUAGUUCUUCAAUGCAUGCAAUGACUCAUCUAAGGAAGAAGGAACAAAACUAGAUUUCAGUUGAAAGAGCGUCAUUGCGUGCAGACGAUGGAAUUACAAGAUCCGUUCGAAUUUUAUUGCUAAUUGCUGAUGAAGUUUCUCAUUUGGUUUUGAGGACGAAUACAUUUUAUUCGUCAUCUGCAUGCGUUUACUGCACGAUGUUUAAUACACUAGACCAGCUCCACAGAGUCAAGAUAUGGUCUCUUGUCCAUUGUUCGUCCAAGCUUGUAUGAUGGAUGCAGUUUUACCAAAUAAAGUGUUUUUCUUCUCAUGGUUGCAAACUGUCUAUGCUCGACCGCUCCCCUAGAGAAGCAGAUGAACGGGUUUGGGUGGUUGUACAUGAGGUUCAGUUCGAAUCCUUGCUGAUUAUAUUUUUGCUUAGUGUUAUUUUUCAAAUGAAGAUAACGAAGUUCGGUUGUCUGCUCACGAUAUCUCUCAAAAAAAUUGUUUUUAGCACAUUACAUUACAUUUUUACUAAGUGGUAUCCGGAUAUAUUUAGACUUUCAAAUGGCAGCAGAAAUUUACAUCAAGAGAUAUUAUUGCGUAUUAACUGAUAGCGAGCGUGAAGUAUUUGUAUUACUGAUGACGAGUAAUCUUGCGUUUAUGUAAAAUAUAAGUUUACCUCUCGAACGACAUUCCCAAACUAUUGUUGAUAUUCAUUUUUAAACAUUAUUUACAACAUUUUGAGAUUGCCAAUUGUAAUUUUUAAGUUUCUAUUUUAAAUUAUAAAUUUAGAUUUUAGUAUUAUUAUUUUAAAUUUAGAUUUUAAAAUUAAAAUUUUAAUUUUAAUUUUAAAUUUUAAAAUUUAAAUCACAUUUCAAAAUUUUAAAUUUAAAUGUUAAAAUUUAAAUUGUAAUUUAAAAUUUAAAUUUUUAAAUUUUGAUUUAUUAUUUUUAAAAUUUUUAAUUAAAUUUUUUGCCAAAUAUAACAUAAGGCAAUUCAUGAAAUAGACUAUAUAUUUUAGGUGUAAGAUUACUGAAUUUAUAAAUGAACAAACAUAAUAACUUUUAUUUAUUAUAAUAUCGAAGUCUGGACUACUAUACUUUUAGAGUAUAGAGCCUCUUGUACUCCAUAAGGGUUUUUUUGCGUGUUGAUCUAACUUAACAUUUUAUUCGUCUAAGAUUAUUACUAUUCAAACAACAACCUCAACCUAGGGGCCACUAUAAACCUAACUCGUACACUACUUGUAUCCUACCGCCACAUUUUUUAUCUGAGUAAGGUCAAAAGUUGUAUGAGUUAAAGGGCUCUAGUAUCAUAUGGUAUAGUUAGCCCAAACCAUAGUUAGUUAAUUCGCGAUUAUUCGCGAUUUUGGAAAUACCGAAAAAUAAACUUCCGUUUUCGUAUUUUUCCCAAAAUUCGAGCAGAUAUUGCGGUUUUUUUCUUCGGGUAAGAGGGAUUAUUCGACGAAUUAAAUGGAUUCGAUGCGAAUAAUUCGGCCAAAAAAUCGGCCCAGAUCAAGGUUUGCCUGCGCUCCCAACAACCCCACUCUGCCUCAGGCCUGCACGACUCACCCUGUGCCCAAAAGGCCGAAAAAAAAAAAAAACAAAAACAAAAACAAAAACUUGUUGAAAGAUCGACCCCUCCACGAGUUCCAAAUAGGCGUUUGCCCUACUUCUCACACUCAUGACCCUGCGGCGGUAGCGCACGCCGACCCCUGCGGCGGUCGCUCAUUUCCCUUCCGGCGAGUUUCGUCGAACGCCAUGCGAGUACCCUCUUUACAGAAAUCGAAGACGAAGAUCGGGUCCCUUCACUCUCGAGAAAUCGAAACCCUCCUCGUCGCUCUCUUCUCUUCCGCUUCCGCUUCGCUUCCGCUAUCAAUGUCUGAUCAGGUAAUCGGGUGGUCAUUACAAACAUUUAGCGCGAUUUGAGUUUCGGUGUUCUUCAAAGCAAAGUUGCAGCGUUUAGUCCAUCUGAUGUACUUUUUAUAUACACAAUGUGUGACUGCUUAAUUUGAAUGUGUCCAUUCUUCUGGUUAAUGCAACAAAGAAGACCGCAAACAUUAGUGAUAAAUUAAUAAUCUUAAUUAAUCUUAGGGACAGGAACUGCUGUAUUAUACCUAAGUCAGAUUUAUAUCUUGAUACGUCACUGCAAAGGAAAAUUUUGUUGUGUUCUUUCAAGGACAAUUGACUCGUGGGGUUUCUACUUCAAUUUUUGAAACAGUAACUUUUUAGUAUUAGAAUGCAGCAUUUUCGAAAUAUAAUUGAGAGUCUGGAGAUAUAAGAGUUGAAAAUGUUUAACUGUAAGAAUCCUUUCUCUUUCUGCUAAACUCGGGUUUCAUAUAUUAGUCUCUGCGUUAAGAUGUUGUUAAUGUUUGUUACAUUCAUUAUUUGCUUGAUUUUGUAUGAAGAGUGAAGAUUCUUAGCUUUUAUGUAUGUUAUAUUCCUGUGUGUUGUAUGCUUUAUGUUUAUCAGCUUUAUGUACUCUUAUAAUAUUAUAAGUGGAACUUUAUGUAUUCUUUUAUUUAUUUACUGUUUAGACUUUAAGAAUUUUAGUAUGCUAGCAUAGCAGUUUUGGAAUAUUGCAAAAGUGCAAUUCAUUUGUUAUUAGUUUGUAACUAUUGCUUGUAUGUGAACGUUUUUAUAUUUCUACCAUUAUUUUGAUUCUCAAAAUUUAAUUUAUUGCAAUUUCUUGCUCAAUCUUUCUACAUCAUUGCAAGUGCGACGACUCAAUUUAACUUAUUAAACAGUGAUGUGUCGCUGAUGUAGUACUAGUUUAGUAGCAUUAUAAUCCAUAAAUGAUAUUUAUUAAGAUGCGAUAUCACUGUCACAUUACUGAAAUAUCAAUUUCCAUUCUGUCAACCUAAAGUUGAAAACUAAAUUGAAGAAGCUUUUUCUACGUAUCAUGAUGAGAGAUGUACUAUAUAAUACAGUUUUUAUUCAAUAAUAAAUGAUUAUUUUUAAGUCAACGCAGAAACUUUUACAGCUUCAACUUGGACAUGUAGAAAGAAAUUUAGAGCAUUUUUCAUAGUAAAUAAAACGCAACAAGUUCGACAUUGUGAUUAAAUUUCUUUUCACUUGUCACUCCAGUGGCAUUUGAUCUCCAAAGAUCAGUGCAAGAUAAGCCGAAAACUGCAGUGCGGUGCGCAUCAUCGGCUCUCGACGUGCGAAAAAGGAGCUUGCAGAUGACAUGAACGGGUUCGUAUCCAAAUCCGGCUCGAAAGUCUCAAGACUGUUCUCAAACACUUUGAAAAAGGAUUGGAACGUCCGUCGCGCAGUGUCAUUAUCCCCCAAUUCUAACUGAUCUGACCAUCCUUUUUCCGCGCGAAUUUGUCGUAAUCUGCUGACCCUGCUGGCCUCUAACUGGAAGGGAAGUUCCUGCAGCAAUGGGCAGCCAUACACAUCCAAGUAUUCCAAGGAAGGGAAGGCCAACUUCUGAGCACAAAAUCUCUCCAACCUUGGCAGGUGAUGCAGCUGCACUAUCCUCAGCCUGGAAAAUGCAUGCAUUAAAUCAUUAGCAUCUUCUGCGUGACCGAUCACUUCCACCAAAUUGUAGCAAAAUGAUAGAUCGAGUUGUUCGAGGUACGGGAUCUUCAGUAUCCAAGAAAUGUUGACUAAGUUGAAGUUCUCGACAAUAAUGACCUGACGAAGCUUCGUAAGCUGCACCGUCAAGUGGACCUUCUUCAGCCUGUAGAGGCGCCAGAAAGUGAGGAACUCUAGCCUCGAAGGUGACUUGCCAGCAGACCGACCGACUUGUUCGCUUCUGAUCGACAACUCUUCUAACUCGAAACAGCUUUUGACAUUCAAAACUAUGGUGCUGCUAUGCAAAUUGAGGCAGAGGGAGCACUCCCCUUUCAAUCGGUAUAUGCCGAGAAGGUAUAAGUACACAUCAGAGCACUCGGAAAGCAUCUGAAGAGAUCCGACUGUUCGUACAGAAAUCCCGAGUGAUUUCAGGCCUUUACCCAAGUAGUGCAAUUCUUCCAGACUGAACUCGCUCUUUUCGUUCGACGUCUGACGAAGAUCAUACUUUGUUUCCGUGCUCUUAUGAAUCUCCAUCUCAAAGCCCGAAUACUUGCUCUUAAACAAGUUCAGAAACUGUAGCAUGGAUAGUUUGGAUAUCACUCCACGCGGAAUCGUUUUGAGGUGAUCGGUGUAACUCAGAUUCAAGAAUCUUAAUUCCGUCAGAAAUCCUAAUUCCAGAGGGAGUGAGACUAUAUCUGAAUUUCUAAGACUGAGAUACUGCAAUUUGACUAGCGAACCGAUUUCUCGUGGAAGCUCUCUGAUGCAAGUCCAACUUAAAUCCAAGAAUGUCAGCGCGCGCAUGGUUCGGAAAAAUCCGGGCGAGAUGGCCUUCAAAUGAAAGUUUUGCUGGAGAGUCAAGAGCAAAAGAUUAGGACAAUUCGGAGAUUGCGGCAGCUCUUUUAUACAAUUACACAUCAGUGAAAUUCGCGAAGCUCUUGUCCAUAUGCCUGCAUCACUGUUCUGCACUUUCUCCAGGCCAACUCCUGGCUGCACAAUCCAUUCCAGCUUCUUCUCUUCGGAUAGCGAGGCCACGCAGAGAGCCAUGUCGCGGAUAACGUCGUGAACUCGUACUUCUUUAUCGCUCGCGUCGCCGUCUUCCAACAAGCAUGCUUUCUUCAAUCGUUCGAUGCGGGAGAAUCCCUCAUUGUAUGCAUCUUCGAUCGUCGAGCGCAUCGGUUGUAACCCCAACGCCAUCCAGAAAUCCACGAGCUCGACUUUCCAGAUGGAAUAGCCUUCAGGCCACAGGGCGCAAGUCAAGAAGCAUCUUUUCGUCUGCUCGUCUUCCAAACUGUCAUAGCUAAAUCUUAUUGUGCUAAGCACAGGGUGAGCAUCCUUCAUACAUGAAUUUCCCGAAAGACGCGUGUUCUCGAGAGACGCGAUAGCGUUCUCCCAUUCUUGCAACGUCCUCUUUGUAGACAUCGAACGGCCUACGGAAAUGAGCGCGAGCGGCAAUCCACUACACCUCCUGCAGACUUUCCUUGCUAAGGAUUGUAUUCGAGCAUCCGAGUUUACGGUGUCUUCGCUAACACUGUUUUUGAACAGCUCCCACGCGUUGUCGGGUUCCAAGCACUCCAAUUUGAUCUUGGUAUGAACUCCCAUGUUGCCGCAUACCUCUUCGAACCGUGUCGUCAACACUAUCUUUUGAUUCCUCGCGCCAUUAGGCUGUGGAAUUCCGACUCCUGCGAGGUCUAUCGGCUCCCACAGAUCAUCCAGCAGCAGUAAAAACUUCUUGUUCUUUAAGAAGUUGAAGAUCGCAGAAGUAUGCGACGUCGUUAUGCUCGAAUCCUGCUUCAAGUAGAGGCCAAUCUUCUCAGCUAUGUCCAGUUGAAGGUUCUCUAACUUGCAACCUUUUGACGCCGCGAUACAAACGACAUGAUCAUAGCGGAAGCUUUCAAAAUCAGCAAGAAGGUGAUUGUUGAUGGUUUUCAGCAGAGUGGUCUUUCCUACUCCUCCCAUUCCCCAUACGCCGACCGCUCCGACUUCGUCGUCUUUGAGGUGACGAAGUAUCUUCUCUAGAUUAGAUUGCAUUCCGAUAACGGCAGAUGCAAUAGGCAUCUCCUCGAUCGGAGGCGGAGGCAACUCAACGGCGAUUUCUUCAAAAGCGCCUCCUUGAUCAAACAACUCCAUCACUCGUUUAAGCUUCUUCGCAGCUCUUCGACUGAUCCUAUGUUUGCCAAUAAUGUCAAGAGAGAACUCCCCGCAGCAUCGGCAUCUUUCAUCGUAAGCGUGUUUUACCGCUUCCACUUCACCUUCGAUGGCUUCGACCCUUUGUAACCAUUCUUUCGCUUCGUGCUUGCAUGUUUUAUGUCUUCUUUCUGCGAUGUCGAUUUGGGCUUUUAUAUCAUCUCUUCUAGCUUGCAACCUUUUCGUGAAGAUUGUUAGCUUCUUGACGUUCCCUUCGACCUUUACGGGAUACCCCAAGUGCAACACCAAGGGAUUCCAUAACUGAGAUAAAACCACGCUGACGAUUGAUCCAAAAAAAGGAAGCAAAGCCAUUGCUGCAAUCAAAGGAAAAAAGAAUUAGCACGGUACAAGCCAAGUUACUUUAUUUGUCGAGAGAUGAUCUCACUUUAACAUUGAAAAUAAACCGCAUCGGUUCCAAUCAAAAUAGAACAAAAAGUAGAGUUGAAGUAAUGAAAUCAUCGAAGGAACCGAUACGGCAUGAAUAAAGUGCACAGAGAUCUGUGAAUCGGAUUACCUUUACUCGAUCGUUGUGUAAGAUCUAUUCUUCAAACAUGCAUGCUCACUACUAAACGAAAAGAAGGAAAACAACAUAGAUCAGCUCUCGAACAUGAAAUUGAUCAAAAGCCGAAAGUUGAAAGUUCAUUGCGUGCAGACGAUGGAAUCACAAGAUCCUCGAAUUUCAUGUUCUAAUUUGCUGAUGAAGUUUUUCAUUUGGUUUUGAGAUGAAUCAUUUUCUUCAUCUUUGCGCGUUUCUGUACAUGUUUAGUACACUAGUCCAAGCUCCACAAGUCAAGAUAUGUCCUUGUCCAUUGCUUCCGUCCAAGCUAUAUGAUUGAUGCAGCUUUUACCAAAUAAAGUUUUUCUCUCCAUGUUGCAAACUAGUCCUAUUUACUUCUCUCUGACCAUCAAUGUAUCUAGUAUCAGUUUUAACUCGUUUUUUAUUAUCUAAUUCUAUGUUUCAUAUAAUUUAUUACUUCAUUUUCCUCCUUUCUUAGAAGUUUCAUGUUAUAGUUUCAUAAUCAUAUGUACUCACAUACACCUCCCCUACAAAUGUUAGUUUAGUUGAAAACUUAACCUCAACCCAAAAAUCAGGUGAAUUAAGUAAAAUGUAACUGUGCAAUGUAACUCAGUACACACUUGUGUGUACAUAUUAAACGCAAAGCAUAUGUAUUUUAGCUCGUUGAAUUGGCAUGGCGAUUCUGCUAAAUUUAACAGUUUUUACCUGCUUUUUAGCUGAUCGAAUUGUAGGCUUCUUUAACAUCGACGAACCGUAAGCACGAUCCCCAAUUUCAUUGACUAAACACUAACUCAACAACAAAAAAAAGGGGGGACCGAUCAUCACUAGAGCAAGUGGCAAAGAGCUUGGUGGUUGGUAUCCGAAAUCCAAGUUCAAAUCUUAGUUGAUUCAUAUUUCCAGCUAAGUUUAUUUCUAAAUGAAAUAAACGAAACGGAUAGCGUGUUACCUAUCUCUCAAAAAAAAAAAAAAAAAAACAACAAAAAGGGGGUGGGAAUGUAAUAUUAAAAAGUUUACUUCAAAUUGUUUUUAUAGCACAUAUAUACAUUUUUACCCCAAAAAAAAGAUUGGUGCAGGACAACACUUUCUAGCUCCCAUUUCUUACUCUAGACACAUCAUCUUUAAUAUAUAUGUAUCAUUAGAAUGGGAAGGAGAAGGAAAUGAGCAAGAAUAUAUAGUUUUUGUUUUUAUCUACGAGUGAUAACACACGGCGCAAAUUGCACUAGUUUGGUUAAAAUAUGAGUUCUGGUUAGGUGUGUUUGGUUCCAAAUCGGAAUCGGUAUCGAAAUCGGAAAGAGAAUAAGCUGAAAACGUAAUCAAAAUGAUUACCUCAUUCUGUUUAGUUUACCACCUAAAUUGGAAUCGAAAUGAGCUAUUCUUGUUGUCGGUGCUUGAUUUAGAUAGAUAACAGAAAAGUAAUUAAAUUAAUAUGUCAAUUUUAUCUUUAUAAUAUAUUAGUUUAAAUUCAAAUUGAAAAUUAAAUAUUAAAAAUUUAUGUCAAAAUUUUAAAAUAAUAUCAAAAUUUUCAAUAUAUUUUUUAAAAAAAUUAAAAUUUGAAAUUGAACGGAUAAUUCUAAAUAUAAAACUAAAAUUUGAUUUAUUCAAAUUCAAACUUAAAAUUAUAAUUUAAAUUUCAAUUUGAAUCCAAAAAGUUAAUUUAAAUUUUAAAUAAAAAUUUGAAUAAAACUUUAGAUUUUAAAUUAAAUUUAAAUUCAAAUUUAUAAAUUAGAUUCAAAAUGCUUGAUUGAGUUUUAAUUUUUAAUUUAAGUUCAUAAAAUUUAAAUUUAUAAAUAUAAUUUUUAAACAUAAACUUAUAUUUUAAUUCAAAAAUAAGCUUAAAAAAAUUAAAUUUAAUCUGAACAAAAUCAUUCCGCCCGAAUUCAAUUUCCAAACCAGCCUAGAUAAGUGGGGGGAUUUCCACUCAUCCGGAAAUCGAAUCGGAAUGAAAUUUUACAUACCAAAUACGGACAAAACAGAUUCAUCCAUUCCGAUUCCGAUUCAAAAGUGAAAAAAGAGCGAACUCUUUGACUAUUUUUAUUCAUUAGAUUAUACUAUUCAGUCAAUAACUCACUCUCAAUUCCAGAGAGCCCACAUCUUUCUAUCCGUACUUUUUUUUUUUUUACUCAAGGGCUGAAAAAUAAAAAUUGGCUAUCCCCGAAUUAAUCGCCGAAGGAAAAAAAAAAAACGACUUAACUCGGGCGCACGCGGCAUGGUGUGUUUGGAUUGCCGGAAAACUGAUCCGAAAAUUUUCUUUUGCUCGAAAACUAGUUUUCGGAUAUUUGGUUGUCUGUAAAACAAAAAAUUUGAAAAAAACUUUUACAGAUUUUGAGAAAAGAUUGGGUUUUUGAGCGGAAAACGAAAACCCAUAGCCAAAAAAGGCACGGCUCUUGGGAGAGGAUACACGCGGUCCACGAGGUCACUUCACCUCGUGUGCUCCUCUCCCUCUUCUAUCAUAUAUUACUAGUGAAAUACUCGCGCAAUGCUGCGGAUAUAAAAAUAUUUUUAUAAUAAAUGUUAUUUUUUUAAUAUAUUUAUAUAGUUUUAUAAGUUUAAUUAUUAAUUAAAUAAAAGUUAGAAAAAAUUAAUUUAAUCGUUAAAUCUAUUUAAAUAAAAGUCAUUAAAAUGGAUAUAUGCACAAAGUAAAUUUAUACAAUAAUUUAUUUUAUAAAUAUUUAUAUGAAAAUAAUUUGAGAUAAAUCUAUCAAAAUAAUUUUAAAAAAUCAAUAAAUAGAAGAAAAAUAAAAUUGUAAAAAAAAAUUAUUUAAUAACAUUAAUUAUAUAUACACAGAAAUACACUAUAUUUCUAAAAUUUAAAUGCUCUAUUUUUUUUAUACAGCGAUACUUUACGCGAUUUAAAUUGCAUCUAUUAGGUUAUAUUUUAUUACGCAAUUUAUUAUGCGUAUUAUUAAUAAAAUUAAUUAACUAUAUUAUAUAUUAUGAGUUAUUAAUAAAAUUAAUUAAUUAAUUUCAAAGAGUUUAGAGAUUUAAAAUUUUAAAUUGAAAAUAUAUUAUAAAUUAAAUUUAAAUUUAAAAAAUAAAUAUAAAAUUUGAAUUUAAAAUUAAAAAAUUGAAAGUAUCAAAAUUUUAAAUUUUGAUAUCAAUAUAUAUAUAUAUAUAUAUAUAGGAGAGAGAGUAAAGGGGGGUUUGGGGGACACGUGUCACCGCUUGGUCUCCCAAACCUUCUUUAAUGUAAGAAAAAAUAUAUUAUAUAUAUUAAUUAAUAUAUAUAUAUAUAUAUAUUUAUUUUAUUUAUAAAUAUAUUAUUAAUAUAAUAUUUAUUUAUUUAUAAUAUUAUUUAUAAAUAUAAAAAAAUUUCUUAUAGUAUUAAAUAUAUACUAUUAUAUAUUAUAUUUAUUCCUAUUUUAUAAUAUAUGUUAAAUAUAUUUUAUUUACAAAUAUUAAUUAUAAUAAUAAUAUUGAACUAUGCUGGAAUACUAUUAAUAGCACCAAUGACAUGGUGCUAUCCCUUAGAAAUUUACUUAUAGUAUUAAAUAUAUACUAUUAUAUAUUAUAUUUAUUCCUAUUUUAUAAUAUAUGUUAAAUCUAUUUUAUUUACAAAUAUUAAUUAUAAUAAUAAUAUUGAACUAUGCUGGAAUACUAUUAAUAGCACCAAUGACUUGGUGCUAUUAAAUUUUCUACCCUUAGAUUAAAAAAUGUGCGGUUAGAAUGAUGUGAGCCUUCUAGGGUUAAGUGGACGGUUGGUUGAAUAGUAUAAUCGAACGGAUGAAAAUGAUAAAAGAAGUAAAUCUAACGGUAAAAAACUUGAUAGCACCAAAUGCUUCGUGCUAUCGAUAGUAUCCCAGCCGGACUUUAAUAAUAUUUAUAUACUAUUAUAAUUAUUAUAUAUCAAUAAUCAAUAAUAUAUAAUAUGUGAAAAAGACAAAAUAUCUAUUAUUAUAAUUUUUUUUAUUUUUUUUUUUCCUUUCAUCCAAAUAACCAUAACGAUUUUUUUUUCUUUUCUACAAAUCAAACACUAGCGAACGUAAAACUUUUUUUCCACAAAAAAAUUUUUCCAUCGAAAAUUAUUUUUUAGAAUUUUACAUUGAACCAAAUAGCCUCUGCAUUUGGUUGGAGGGAUAUCCCAGAACAAAGCGGGAUAUCCCCUUUAUCCCCCCAAACACAAUGCAGGCUUAACGGGUUAUUCGGGAGUAACCCGUUAAGGCCAGUUCUCCCUUGCAUGGAGAAUGACUCUUUUUUUUUUUUUCCUAUUAUGCCCUUUUAUUUUCUUUAUACUUUAUUUUAAUUAAUUUCAAAUAAAUCAAAUGAAUGCUCAAAUUUUAUGCUACUAAAUUAAUGUUUCUAAGGUGGUUUGUAAACAUAUUAAAUUUGUGAAAUAAUUUGCUCUUCUAUAUUUAAAAUUAUAUAUUUAUAUUUAAUUUUAAUUAGUUUCAAAUAUAUAUAUAUUUUUUGAGAGAUAGGUAGCAUACUAUCCGCUUCGUUUAUUUCAUUUAGAAAUAAACUUAGCUGAAAAUGUGAAUCAACUAGGAUUCGAACUUUGAUCUGGGGUACCAACCACCAAGCCCUUUGCCACUUGCUUUAGAGACGGUCGGUAGUUUCAAAUAUAAAAUUGGAAGUAUAUUUUUACUGUUAUAUUCAAAAUUAUAUUAUUAUAUAUUAAUUAUAUUUCUAUUCAUAUAUAUUGAAUUAUAUUUUAUUAUUAUAUUCAAGGGUAUAAUUGUCAUUUUACUUAAUUUUUAUCAAUUCAAUACCUUAUUUCAAUAUAAACAUCCAAACACAAUAUAGAGAUAUCCUCUAGAACAAACAAAUAACAUCCAAAUGUAAUUUAGAACUUGUUCUAGUUUAUUCUAGAAUAUUCUCUGUUCUCGAUAACAACAAAAAGUUAUUUUUUAAAAUUUAGUUCUCGAACAAAACGCAGGAUUUAGGUUUUUUUUUUUUUUUUUUUUUUGAGAUGGGGGUACAAGCAAGUUACUUUAUUUGUCUGAGAGAUGAUCUCACUUUAACAUUAAAAAUAAACCGCACGUGGUUCAAUCAAAAUAGAAAAAGCUAGAGUUUGAAGUAAGAAAUCAUCGAAGACCGAUACGGCAAUGAUAAGUGCACAGAGAUCUCGUGAAUCGGAUUACUAUUACUCGAUCUUGUGUUCAAGAUCUAUCUUCAAACAUGCAUGCUUACUACUUAAACGAUAAAGAGGAAAACAAAUAGAUUGAGUCUUCGAAACAUAAUGAUCAAAAAGUCCGACAAGUUGAAAUUCAUUGCGUGCGACGAUUGAAUACAAGGAUCCUGAAUUUCAUGUUGCUAUAAUUGCGUGAUGAAGUUUUAUUUUGUUUUGAGGUAUUGAAUCAUUUUUUUAUCUAUUGCGCGUUCUGUACAUGUUUAGUGACACUAAGGCUCAAGCUCCACAAGUGCAAGACUAUGUCCUUGUCCAUUGCUUACAGUCAAGCUAGUUAUGAUUGAUGCAGCUUUUACGCAAAUAAAGUUUUUCUCUCAUGAUUGCAAACUAGUCCUAUUUUACUUCUCUUGCGACCAUCAAUGUAUCUGAGUAUCAGUUUUACUCGUUUUGUUAUUUCUUAAUGUCUAUGUUCAUAUAAUUUCAGUCUAUUCAUUUUCCUCCUUUCUAAGAAUUUCAUGUUAUAGUUUCAUAAUCUCAGAAUGUACUCACAUAACUCCGCCUAAAAUGUUAGUUAUUAGUUGAAAUACUUAACCUCAACCACAAAAAUCAAUCGGCAAUAAGUAAAAUUUAACUGGCGCAAUGUAAUGAAUAAUGCUCAGUACACACUUGUGUGUACAUAUUAAACGCAAAGAAUAUGUAUUUUGCUCGUUGAAAAUUGGCAUGGCGAUUCAUGCGUAAAUGUUUAACAGUUUUUACCUGCUUUUUGUUAGGGCUGAUCGAGAUUGUAGGCUUGCGUUUAACAUCGACGAACGUAAGCACGAUGCCCCAAUUUCAAUUGAUAAACACUAACUCAUGCAACAAAAAAAGUGGGGACGAUAUCAUAGAGCAAGUGGCAAAGAGCUUCGGUGGUUGGCUAUCCGAAAUCCUGAGUUCAACUCUUAGUUGAAUUCAUAUUUCCAGCUAAGUUUUAUUUCUAAUGACAAUAACGAACGGAUAGCCCCGUGUUACCUAUCUCUUCAAAAAAAAAAAAAAAAAACAACAAAAAGGGACGGUGGAUUGUAAUAUUAAAAAGUUUACUUCAAAUUGAUUUCUUAUAGCAAGAUAUAUAUUUACCGCCAAAAAAAAAGAUUGGUGCAGGACAGAACACAUUUCUAUCUCAUUUUAUUAUCUCUUAGAACAUCAUCUUUAUAUUAUAGUACAUUUAGAAUGGGAAGGAGAAGAAAUGAGCAAGAAUAUAUAGUUUUUGUUUCUAUCUCACGAGUGAUAACACACGGCCGCAAAUUGCACUAGUUGGUGGUUAAAUAUGAGUUCUGAGUUAGGGUUGUUUGUGUUCCAAUCGGAAUCGCGUAUCGAAAUCGGAAGAGAAUAAGCUGAAAAGUAAUCAAAGAUUUCAAUUUUUUGAGUUUACCACCUAAAAUUGGCAAUCGAAAUGGAGCUAUUCUUGUUGUCGGUGCUUGAGCUUAGAUAGAUACAGAAAAGUAAUAGUAAUUUAAUAUGUCAUUUCUAUUUUAUAAAUAUAUUAUGUUUAAUUUCAAAUUGAAAAUUAAUUAUUAAAAAUUUAUGUAUAAAGUUUUAAAAUAUACAAAAUUUAUCAAUAUAUCUUUUAAAAAAAUUUAAAAUUUGUAAUUGGAACGGCAUAAUUCUAAUAUAAACUAAAAUUUUAUUUCAUAUCAAAUUCAAACUUAAAAUUAUAAUUUAAAUAUUCAAUUUGAAUUCCAAAAAUGUUAAUUUUAAUAUUUUAUAAUAAAAAUUUGAAUAAAACUUUAGAUUUUAAUGAUUAAAUUUAAAUUCAAAUUUAUAAAUUAGAUUCAAAAUGCUUGAUUGAGUUAUUUAAUUUUUAAUUUAAGUUCUUAAUUUAAAUUAUAAAUAUAAUUUUUAACAUAAACUUAUACUUUUAAUUCAAAAAUAAGCUUUAAAAAAUUAAAUAUUAAUCGAACAAAAUCUAUCCGCCGAAGUUCAAUUCAACCAGCUAGAUAAGUGGCGGGGAUUCCAAUCAUCCGAAAUCGAAUCGGAUAAUUUUACAUACCAAAUACGGAAGACAAACAGAUUAAUCCAGUUCAGAUUCCGAUUCAAAAGAUGAAAAAAUAGAGCGAACUCUUUGAACUUUUUAUUCAUUAGUACUUAUACUAUUUCAGUCAUAACUCACUCAUCAAUUCCAGAGAGCCCAACAUUUCUAUCCGUUACUUUUUUUUUUUUUACCAAGGCCUGAAAAUAAAAAAUUGCUAUCCCCGAGAUUAAUCGACGAAGGAGAAAAAUAAAAAAUUAACCGGUUCGCGCAGCUGGCGUAUGGGUGUGUUUGGAUCGGAAACUGAUCCGAAAUUUCUUUUGCUCUGAAAACUAGUUUUGCGAUAUUUGGUUGUCUUGUAAAACAAAAAGAUUUUUGAAAAAAUUUUUACAGAUUUGUGUAGAAAAGAUUUUGGGUUUGAGCAGGAAACGAAAACCAUAGCAAAAAAGGCACGGCUCUUGGGACGAGGUACACGCGGUCACGGGCGUACUUCACCUGUGUGCUACCUUCCCUUUCUCUAUCAUAUAAUUACUAGUGAAAUACUGCGCAAUGCUGGGAUAUAAAAUAUUUUAUAAUAAAUGUUAUUUUUUAUAUAUUUAUAUAGUUUUAUAGUUUAAUUAUUAAUUAAAUAAAGUUAUGAAAAUUAAUUUAAACGUUAAAAUCUAUUUAAAUAAAGUCAUUAAAUGGAUAUAUGUCACAAAGUAAUUUAUACAAAUUUAUUUUAUAAAUAUUUAUAUGAAAAUAAUUGAUGAUAAAUCUAUCAAAUAAUUUUAAAAUCAAUAAAUAAGAAGAAAAUAAAAUUUAAAAAAAUUAUUUAAUAACAAUUAAUUAUAUCUACACAGAAAUACACUAUUAUUUAAAAUUUAAAUGCUCUAUUUUUUUUUAUACAGCGAUACUUUACGCGAUUUAAAUUGCAUCUAUUAGGUUAUUUUUUAUUACGACAAUUUAUUAUGCGAUUAUUAAUAAAUUAAUUAACUAUAUUAUAUAUUAUGAGUAUUAAUAAAAUUAAUUAAUUAAUUUCAAAGUUUAGAGAUUUAAAUUUUAAAUUUGAAAAUAUAUUAUAAUUAAAUUUAAAUUUUUUAAAAUAAAUAUAAAUUUGAAUUUAAAAUUUAAAAUUGAAAGUAUAAAAUUUUAAAUUUUGAUAUCAAUAUAUAUAUAUAUAUAUAUAUAGGGAGAGAGAGUAAAGGGGGUUUGGGGGACACGUGUCACGCUUGGUAUCCAAACCUUCUUUAUGUAGAAAAAAUAUAUUAUAUAUAUUAAUUAUAUAUAAUAUAUAUUAUAUUUAUUUUAUUUAUAAAUAUAUUAUUAUAUAUAUUUUAUUUAUUAUAAAUAUUAUUUAUAAAAUAUAAAAAAUUUACUUAUAAUAAUGACCUGACGAAGCUUCGUAAGCUGCACCGUCAAGUGGACCUUCUUCAGCCUGUAGAGGCGCCAGAAAGUGAGGAACUCUAGCCUCGGAGGUGACUUGCCAGCAGACCGACCGACUUGUUCGCUUCUGAUCGACAACUCUUCUAACUCGAAACAGCUUUUGACAUUCAAAACUAUGGUGCUGCUAUGCAAAUUGAGGCAGAGGGAGCACUCCCCUUUCAAUCGGUAUAUGCCGAGAAGGUAUAAGUACACAUCAGAGCACUCGGAAAGCAUCUGAAGAGAUCCGACUGUUCGUACAGAAAUCCCGAGUGAUUUCAGGCCUUUACCCAAGUAGUGCAAUUCUUCCAGACUGAACUCGCUCUUUUCGUUCGACGUCUGACGAAGAUCAUACUUUGUUUCCGUGCUCUUAUGAAUCUCCAUCUCAAAGCCCGAAUACUUGCUCUUAAACAAGUUCAGAAACUGUAGCAUGGAUAGUUUGGAUAUCACUCCACGCGGAAUCGUUUUGAGGUGAUCGGUGUAACUCAGAUUCAAAGAAUCUUAAUUCCGUCAGAAAUCCUAAUUCCAGAGGGAGUGAGACUAUAUCUGAAUUUCUAAGACUGAGAUACUGCAAUUUGACUAGCGAACCGAUUUCUCGUGGAAGCUCUCUGAUGCAAGUCCAACUUAAAUCCAAGAAUGUCAGCGCGCGCAUGGUUCGGAAAAAUCCGGGCGAGAUGGCCUUCAAAUGAAAGUUUUGCUGGAGAGUCAAGAGCAAAAGAUUAGGACAAUUCGGAGAUUGCGGCAGCUCUUUUAUACAAUUACACAUCAGUGAAAUUCGCGAAGCUCUUGUCCAUCUGCCUGCAUCACUGUUCUGCACUUUCUCCAGGCCAAUUCCUGGCUGUACAAUCCACUCCAGGUUCUUCUCUUCUGAUAGCGAGGCCACGCAGAGCGCCAUGUCGCGGAUAAUGUCGUGAACUCGUACUUCUUUAUCGCUCACGUCGCCGUCUUCUAACAAGCAUGCUUUCUUCAAUCGUUCGAUGCGGGAGAAUCCCUCAUUGUAUGCAUCUUCGAUCGUCGCGCGCAUCGGUUGUAACCCCAACGCCAUCCAGAAAUCCACGAGCUCGACUUUCCAGGUGGAAUAGCCUUCAGGCCCCAGGGCGCAAGUCAAGAAGCAUCUUUUCAUCUGCUCGUCUUCCAAACUGUCGUAGCUAAAUCUUAAUGUGCUAAGCACAGGGUGAACACCCUUCAUACAUGAAUUUUCCGAAAGACGUGUAUUCUCGAGAGACGCGAUAGCGUUCUCCCAUUCUUGCAACGUCCUCUUCGUAGACAUCGAACAGCCUACGGAAAUGAGCGCGAGCGGCAAUCCACUACACCUCUUGCAGACUUUCCUUGCUAAGGAUUGUAUUCGAGCAUCCGAGUUCACGGUGUCUUCGCUAACACUGUUUUUGAACAGCUCCCACGCGUUGUCGGGUUCCAAGCACUCCAAUUUGAUCUUGGUAUGAACUCCCAUGUUGCCGCACACCUCUUCGAACCGUGUCGUCAACACUAUCUUUUGAUUCCUCGGGCCGUUAGGUUGUGGAAUUCCGACUCCUGCGAGGUCUAUCGGCUCCCACAGAUCAUCCAACAGCAGCAAAAACUUCUUGUUCUUUAAGAAGUUGAAGAUCGCAGAAGUAUAUGACGUUAUUCUCGAAUCCUGCUUCAAGUAGAGGCCAAUCUUCUCAGCUAUGUCCAGUUGAACGCUCUCUAACUUGCAACCUUUUGGCGCCGCGAUACAAACAACAUGAUCAUAGCAGAAGCUUUCAAAAUCAGCAAGAAGGUGAUUGUUGAUGGUUUUCAGCAAAGUGGUCUUUCCUACUCCUCCCAUUCCCCAUAUGCCCACCACUCCAACUUUGUCGUCUUUGAGGUGGCGAAGUAUCUUCUCUAGAUUAGAUUGCAUUCCAAUAACCGCAGAUGCAACAGGCUUCUCCUCGAUCGGAGGCGGAGGCAACUCAACGGCGAUUUCUUCAAAAGCGCCUCGAUCAUACAACUCCAUCACUUGUUUAAGCUUCUUCGCAGCUCUUCGACUGAUCCUAUGUUUGCCAAUAAUGUCAAGAGAGAACUCCCCACAGCAUCGGCAUCUUUUAUCGUAGGCGUAUUUUACAGCUUUCACUUCACCUUCGAUGGCUUCAACCCUUUGUAACCAUUCUUUCGCUUCGUGUUUGCAUGCUUUAUGUUUUCUUUCCGCGAUGUCGAUUUGCGCUUUUAUAUCAUCCCUUCUAGCUUGCAACCUUUUCAUGAAGAUCGUUAGCUUCUUGACGUUCCCUCCGACCUUUACGGGAUACCCCAAAUGCAACACCAAGGGAUUCCAUAACUGAGAUAAAACCACAGUGACAAUUGAUCCGAAAAAAGGAAGCAAAGCCAUUGCUACAAUCAAAGGAAAAAAGAAUUAGCACUGCACGACGGAAUGAGAAUUACAGCAGAAGUGAAGGCGCAAGCCGAAUUCCUUUAUUUAUCGAGAGACGAUCUCACUUUAGCAUUGAAAAUAAACCUCGCCGGUUCCAAUCAAAAUAGAACAAAAAGUAAAGUACAGGUAAAGAAAUCAUCAAAGGUUCCCAUAUGGCAUGAAUAAAGUGCAUAGAGGAGUGUGAAUUGGAUUACCUUAAUUUACUCAUUGUGUAAGAUCUAUUCUUCAAACAUGCAUGCUCACUACUAAAGAAAAAGAAGAAAAACAACAUAGAUCAGCUCUUGAACUUGAAAUUGAUCAAAACCCGAAAGUUGAAAGUUCAUUGCGUGCAGACGAUGGAAUCGCAAGAUCCUCGAAUUUCAUGUUCUAAUUUGGUAAGAAAGAAGGAUUGUACAAGGAACCACCUCUUGCUGAUGAAGUUUUCAUUUGGUUUUGAGAUGAAUCAUUUUCUUCGUCUCUGCGUGUGUCUGCACAUGUUUAAUACACUGGACCAAGCUCCACAAGUCAAGAUAUGUCCUUGUCCAUUGCUUUUCUCAAAACUGAAGAACGCUUAAGAUAACAAAAAGGACUGGUUCAAAGUCCAACCUAUAUGAUGUAUGCAGCUUACCUAUGAUGGAUGCAGCUUACCAAAUAUAAGUUUUUCUCUCCAUGUUGCAAACUAGUCCUAUUUACUUCUCUCUGACCAUCUUUGUUUCUAGUAUUAGUUUUAACUCGCCUUGUUAUUAUCUAAUUCUAUGUUUCAUAUAAUUUAUUACUUCAUUUUCCUCCUUUCUUAGAAGUUUCAUGUUAUAGUUUCAUCGGCAUAUAGUUGAAAACUUCAACUCAACUCAAAAGUCAGGUGAAUUGAGUAAAAUGUAACUGUGAUGCAUAAAUUAGUAAAAAUGUAACUCACUACACACUUGUACAUAUUAAACGGAACGCAUAUAUAUUUUAGCUUGUUGAAUUGGCGUGGCGAUUCUGACAAGUUUAUUGGCGAUUCUGACAAGUUCAUUGGCGAUUCUGCUAAAUUCAACAGCUUUCACCUGCUUUUUAGCUGAUCGAAUUGUAGGCUUCUUUAACAUCGACUAACCGUAAACACGACCCCUAAUUUCAUUGACCAAACACUAACUCAACAACAAAAGGGGGAAAAAAAAAUGGUAAUAUUAAAAAGUUUACUUCAAAUUGUUUUUAUAGUACAUCUAUACAUUUUUACCCAAAAAACAAAGAUUGCUGCAGAAUAACACUAAUUAGCUAGCUUCCAUUUCUUACUCUAGACACAUCAACUUGAAUAUAUGUAUCAUUAGAACUAAAUGGGAAGGAGAACGAAAUGAGCAAAAAUAUAUAAUUUUUAUUUUUUAUCUACGAGUGAUAACGCAUCACGCAAAUUGCACUAGUUUGGUUAAAAUAUGAGUUCUGGUUAACUACGUUCCGACAGAAAAAUGAAAAAGAACAUCUCUGUAUGCUUCUGUCCCAACUCCUUCUGGUCUAAUAACAUGCACCCUAAAAGCUGAAAUAGAAAAGAAGCAAAUCAGGAAUGGAGCUUCAAUGAAACAUGGUGCUUGCUUUCAUCAUCCAAGCAAAAAAAGUAAGUAGAAAAGAAAAAAAUAACCAAUAUUAAGAAAUUAUCGACCUCCCAAAAAAUAGGGGACAAAAAAUAAUUAGAGUUGAGACACAAUUACGGGUGGAAAUGAUCUGAGCUCGAGUGAGCUGACCUCAGCUCAUGUUUGAUUUGAAUUAAUUUAGAGCCUAAAUUCAGCUUGAAAUUAAUUCGAGCCGAGCUUAAUUUCGCGUCGAGCGAGCUCGAGCCCUAAAUGAGCCGCUUGAAAUUCUUAACAUCAUGCAAUCUAUAACUGACAAGGGCGACAGCGACCGAGGAGAUUGGCAACAGCGGCGUCAAGGCUGCAGCGGUGGCGAUUGGGAGCGAGGUGGAUAUGGAACUUGGCGUGCUCCUGCUUGAGGGGUGAGAAAGAGAGAGAGAGAGAGAGAGAGAGAGAGAUUAGAAAUUUAAUAAUUAGAAUAUAGGCUAAAUUACAGAAAAUCUCUUGUCAAUGCCUGCUUUUUUCCCUUUUCUUUUCUGUCAUUUAAAAAUUUAUAUUUUACCCCCUUAAAAAAAUAAAAAAUAUUCACUUUGACCCCCGCCCUCAGUAAAUGUUCACUUUGGCCCCUGCCCUCAGUAUUCCGUUAGGGUUCCAUUUAUAUCCUAUUAUUAUAUAUUUUUUAUGUCCAAAAUACCCUCAGCAUUGCCGCCUCCUUCCUCGCCGCCCACGCUGCCUCGCCCUCCUCCGCCGCCUCGCCCUCGCCCUCGCCCGCCUCUCCAUCCACGCCCACACACACGUUCUCGCGCUCCUUCGCCGUCUUGCCCUCGCCCUCGCCCACCUCUCCGUCCAUACCCAUCUCGAUUUUCUCCCUACCGUCGCCGAAAUAGAGGGGCGACGAGGGUGCAGGAGUAGCAGGGGAGCAAGUGAAGGAAAUAAAGUCUGACGAAGAUCAUACUUUGUUUCCGUGCUCUUAUGAAUCUCCAUCUCAAAGCCCGAAUACUUGCUCUUAAACAAGUUCAGAACCUGUAGCAUGGAUAGUUUGGAUAUCACUCCACGCGGAAUCGUUUUGAGGUGAUCGGUGUAACUCAGAUUCAAGAAUCUUAAUUCCGUCAGAAAUCCUAAUUCCGGAGGGAGUGAAAUUAUAUCUGAAUUUCUAAGACUGAGAUACCGCAAUUUGACUAGCGAACCGAUUUCUCGUGGAAGCUCUCUGAAGCAAGUCCAACUUAAAUCCAAGAAUGUCAGCGCGCGCAUGGUUCGGAAAAAUCCGGGCGAGAUGGCCUUCAAAUGAAAGUUUUGCUAGAGAGUCAAGAGCAAAAGAUUAGGACAAUUCGGAGAUUGCGGCAGCUCUUUUAUACAAUUACACAUCAGUGAAAUUCGCGAAGCUCUUGUCCAGCUGCCUGCAUCACUGUUCUGCAGUUUCUCCAGGCCAACUCCUGGCUGCACAAUCCAUUCCAGCUUCUUCUCUUCGGAUAGCAAGGCCACGCAGAGAGCCAUGUGUUAGAUGUAUGCCGUAGAAGCCAACCAGGCCGACAUAUAUAUUCUUUCUAGGAUAUAAAUUUGUAUUUAACUUUUAAAUAUUAUGAAUAACUUUGGGUUUUUAUUUCCAUUCAUGUUGUGUAUGCAUCCAUGAAUCGUCCAAAGAAUUAAUAAGAUGAUGACAAAUAUUCUCAAGAGUUGAGAAUUUGAGACAUGUGUCAUUGGUGGUUAAUUCCUAAAUACCCCUGAUCAAUGGAUCAUCACGGGGACGGUGAUUGAUCCGGUGAGAUUGGCACAUAGGUCGCUUCCCUUUUUGAGUAGACGAGUCUCGAGUCAACAGUGUGGGGACACUGAAGUGAAUAUGCAGGUAGUUGUUAGAGAACAAGGGUACCGAGCGUGACCAACACGAGAAGUCACUUGGAUGUCUACUCACUCGUCAGUGACUUACUCAAUAUUGCAGUAGCGUGACUGGUCAUUUGACCUACAGUGUCUCGGCUAUUCACAAUGAGGUUACUGUAGUUUGACAGUACAAACACUUGGUCCCUAGCGAUUCGGGUCCUUGCGGUGCAUGUUGGCUGCAGUAGGUUUAUUGUAGGAAUAUGGUGCGCACUCAGAUGGAAUCUAUCUCUCUUGGUAGAUUAGGGUGUUAGUCUUAUGUAAUUUAUGAAACCGAGUUUAGAAGACCUUGGCCAGGGCAGAGUUAAUAGCGGAAAAGGGUUUCCGAUAUUAAAAACUCGAGUCGAAUAAAUUUGACAUAUGACAGACGAUGAGGUUUGACGAGUUAUUCCAUAACCUCCGUCUAGUCGGGACUCAUGAUAGAAGGAUUGUAUGACACGGUAACUGCACCAAGAGAUUCAGUAUUUCAUUCUACUGGAAUGCCACUACAUGCUGCUAGGCGUCACUGGUGGAUUGUGAGACUCAUGAGAAUUAUCUAGAUGAUCGAUAAUUCUCAUUGGGCUAAGUUAGAAUUGUUCCGAUCCACUGAAAGGAGUUUCAGUGAUAUUAUUGAUAGUGAUCAAAAUAUAUCUCACUACCAGAUAAAAUAGAACCUAUGGGGUCACACACAUAAGAGGUUGUGAUUGAUCGGAUAGCUAGAUCGCGAUUAUUGAAUCGNNNNNNNNNNNNNNNNNNNNNNNNNGCAGGGUAGCAGGGAGCAAGUGAAGGAAUAAGCUGACGAAGAUCAUAUUUGUUUUCGUGUCUUAUGAAUCUCCAUUCAAGCCGAAUACUUGUCUUAAACAUAUGUCAGAACAUGUAGCAAUGGAUAGUUUGGAUAUCACUAAGCGGAAAUCGGUUUUUUGAUGUGUGGAUCGGUGUAAUAGAUUCAAGAAUCUUAAUUCGUCAGAAAUCCUAAUUCCGGAGGAGAGAUGAAAUUAUAUUGAUUUCUAAGACUGAGAUACGCAAUUUGAUAGGAACGAUUUCUCGUGGAGCCUUCUAGCAAGUCCAACUUAAUCAGAAUGUAGCGCGCGCAUGGUUCGGAAAAAUCGGCCGAGAUGGCCUUCAAAUGAAAGUUUGCUAGAGAGUCAAGAGCAAAGAUUAGGGACAAUUCGAUGAUUGCGGCAGCUCUUUUAUACAAUUUAACAUCAUGAAAUUGCGCGAGCUCUUGUCCAGCUGCCUCUCACUGUUUGUGCAGUUUCUCCAGUGACCAAAUCCUGAGCUGCACAAUCAUUCAGCUUUCUUCUCUUCGGAUAGCAAGGCCAGCAGAGACCAGUGUUAGCAUGUAGCCGUAGGAAGCAACCAGGCCGAAUAUAUAUUCUUUCUCAGGAUAUAAAUUUUCUAUUUAACUUUAAAUAUUUCAUGAAUAACUUUGGGUUUUUAUUUUCCAUUCAUGUAUGUGUUGCAUCCAUGAAUGUAAAGAUUAAUGAGAUAUGACAAAUAUUCUCAAGAGUGAGAUUUUGAGACAUGUGUCCAUUGUAGUGUAAUGUAAUUCCUAGAUACCCCUGUAUCAAUGGUCAUCACGGGGAACGGUGAUUGAUCGGUGAUGAUUGGCACAUAGGUCGCUUCCAUUUUUGGUAGACAGAGUCUCGCGUCAACAGUGUUGGGACACUGAAGUGAGAUAUGCAGGUAGUUGUUAGAGAACAAGGGUACGAGGUGACAACACGAGAAGUCACUUUGGAUGUCUACUCACUCCGUCAUGACUUACUUUUCAAAAAUUAUUGCAGUAGCGUGAUGGUCAUUUGACCUUACAGCUGUCUCGGCUAUUCACAAUGAGGUUACUUUCGUUGACAGCUACAAAACUUGGUCCCUAGGCGUUCGGGUCUUUGCGGUUCAUGUUGGCGCAGUAUGUUUAUGUGAGGAAUAUGGUGCGCACCAGAGGAAUCUAUCUUUUGGUAAGUAUAGGGUGUUAUCUUAUGUAAUUUAAUUGAACGGUUAUGAAAGACCUUUGGCCGGCAGAGUUAAUAGCGGAAAGGGUUUCGAUAUUAAAAACUCGAGUCGCUUUUUUGAAUAAAUUUGAAUACGGACGAUGAGGGUUUGACGAGUUUAUCUAACCUCCGUCUAUCGGGCUCAUGAUAGCAAGGAUUGUAUGACACGGUAACUGCACAAGAGAUCAGUAUUUCAUUCUCACUUGGAAUGCACUAAUGCUGCUAGGCGUCACUGGUGGUGUGAGACUCAUGAGAAUUAUCUAGAUGAUCGAUAAUUUCAUUGAGGCUAAGUUAGAAUUGUUCGAAUCCAUGAAAAGGAGUUUCAGGUGAUAUUAUUGAUAGUGAUCAAAAUAUAUUCACUACCAGUAAAUAGAACCUAUGGGGUCACACACAUAAGAGGUUGUGAUUGAUCGGAUAGCUAGAUCGUGAUUAUUGAAUCGUCGGAAGACCUAAUUGUCAAUAUGUUGAUAAUUGGACUAAUUUGUAAUUGUUACAAAUUAGUGGUAUUAAGGUGUAAAUAUAACAAGAGAGGACUUACUAAUAGUUAGUAAAUUAUAAGAGGAUUUAUGUGCAAAUGUUACAUUAUUAAUUUGAUAAGAUCAAAUUAAUAUAAAAUUCAAGUCGAAUCAAAUUAGGAUUUGAUCGAUCUAACCAAUUAAGGAAAGGAUAAAUUUAAAUCUAGAUUUAUAGAUAUCCUUAAUAGUUAUUAUAUUAUUAAAAAGAGGAUUAUAUUCCUCUAUAUUAUACGGGAGUUUUUAGAAAACCCUAGCCGUCAUCUCUCAUCUCCUCUCUCAUCCAUAUUCUAGCAAAAAGACGUCCUUUGCAAGGGAACUAGCAUCCCAGUGAGGAUAUCGAUCAAAUCAUCAACCUCGUGUGGAUACCUAUAGAGGCUGGACGCGUGUGCGGCUUCAAGAGAACCCAAUUCCACGAUCAUCAAGUUGAGGUGAAGAUUUAUCCGCGAAAAAGGUAAAGAUUCGAUCUUGUUUUUCUUCUUUAAUCUUAAAGAACAUGAGUAAUCCUAAUUGCGUGGUUUUUGAUAUUGGAUCUCGAGAGUUUUCAAAAAUCAAAUUUAUUUGAUUUCUUUUUCCGUUGCGUUUUACCGUAUGCAAUUUUCUAACAGUGGUAUCAGAGCCAUCCUCAUGUUCUUAAGAUUAAAAUUAUGAAUUUGGGUAUUCUAAACCGUUUUUCCGCCGGUAGAACAAUUUAUCGAUCAUUUUUGGCUAAUUCGAAAAGAUCAAAGUGAUCAACAAUUUAAUCGACGGUUUCUUGUUUAAAAAAAAAAAAAUACUGUAGCACCGUACGGACGCUACUGUAGAAUCUGUACGGAAAGCAAAAUUAUUUAUUUAUUUAUUUAAAUAAAAGAAAAGAAAAAUCUAAUUUGAUUAGAUGAAAAUAAUAUCUUGAUAUGAUCAAGUUGUUAUGUUUGUAGAUUAAGUUGUUGAUCAUAAUUAUAAAUGAUCAAUAAGAUUGAUUAUUUUUUUUUAAUAAUUUAGUUUUUCGAAUUGUCAAUUAACGGUAAAUUAGAAUGCCCAAAGUUGAUUAUUUUGCAUGUGGUGUAUGAGAUACAGAUCGGUAAUGAUCAUGGAUAGCGGACCAAUUUAAUUUUUGUUUCGACAUGUGAUGUAAGAUGUGUAUGCCGAAUCCUAUAAUUUUAAAUUUGUUUAAAUUAAGGAUUUUGUAUUAGAGAUGGCUAUAUUUGUGCCUGCACGCACAAGCCGAUUUAUUUGGAGACCUACGUGUCUCAAUAGAUUAGAGAUAAAAGUUAUCAAAUGUAAUUAAUUUUCAUUUCAUUUGCACUGUUGGGUUGUAUAAUAUAUGAUUCCACGUCAUUGGUUGAUCGGUUGCAAGCCUAAAAGUUCGCAAGGCUCGGAUAGAGACGAAUACUUGAUGCCGGUCGGAUCAAAGUGUUGAUAAGGAUCAAAUCAAGUUGAAGCUCUAGAUCGGAUCAAGUAGUUGAAGACAAUCAAACCAAUGACGUGUGUGUGCUUGUAAUUUAUGACCCUAAGACCCCGAUUCCGACUCAGUGGCUCGAGUCCGAAUCCACUACUAAGAUCAAUGAUCAUCACCAGUUUAAUUAUAUUUUUAUGCGCGGAUUGUUUUUAUUUGCAUUAGAUGUAAAUAAAUAAAAUAAUUUUUGAGACCUAAAUUUAAUCUCCUCAUAAAUAUUAAGUCGAGUGGUCUUCCGCCGUUGUAGAAGUGCGGGCGUUUUUCUGGUGUUGAUUGGCACGGCUGGUUACAGUGGUCAAUUGUAUCGGGAAUGCGCAACCACUCUAUUAGCAUGAGAUGCUGCGGAGUAAAGAUGGGGUUGGGCCCAAUAACUGUCAGGUGAGGGACCCAAUGACGGCUUUACUUACGCGUUUGAACGGUGGGUCUGACCUAACUAAGGAAUGGGGCCAAUAACUGUCAGGUGAGGCCUACAGGACUUAGAGACCAAUCACUGCAAUUUGCUUGAGAAGCAUUGGACAAGAGUUGUCCACUCAUCGGUUUGCAUAUCACCAAUAAUUGUUAGGUGAGGUGGUACGUUAAACUGGUGGGACCGCAGUACCCACUUGAAACCUUUUGUCGCGUUUUGUUUCUGUUUCUCUACCCGAGGAGUGUAAGAGACUCGAGAAAAUAGUGAGAGGCUAAAUUUAUUUUUUAAAAUUCUUAAAGCAAAUUUUCAAAACAAAUACAAAUAUCUAACUUGAAUCUUUACUCUCUGCAAAGCAAAUGUCUGCUUCCAUUUAUCUCUUUCGUAUUCUCGACACAAAACCCUUAACUGAAACUAAUUAUAAAAAUAGUUUUAAAUUCCAAUAAGCUAUGCAUUGUUCUCGACCAGGUAAACCUCACGUUGCAAAACCGUCCAAUAACUAACAGAAGGGCAGUCCGUUCAUGAUCAUUGUUUGACAAUGAUCAUAGACCUCGAGGUGCUUAAGAAGCUCGGCGUAAAAAUGGACAAGGAAUUGCAAGUUGAUUUGAUCCUGUAAUCGCUUUCUGUAUUAUAUGGACAGUUUAUUGUAAACUACCAUAUGAAUAAAAUUGACUGCACCAAUGUAGAGUUAUUGAACAUGUUGGUAAUAAUAGAGGGGACUUUGAAAAGUUCAAAGGGCACGGUUCUCGCUGUGGAGCGAGUUUUCUCUUCCAAAAGAAAGUCUAAUUGGAAGAAUAAACCCGCAAAGAAACAAAAGACGGAAAACAAGCCUAAGAAUGAAGCUCCUAAGAAAAGGGCCUCUAACAGAGAAAAAUGUUUCCACUGCAAUGUUGACGGCCAUUGGAAGAGGAACUGUCCUGUCUAUCUUGAGAGCCUGAAGAAUAAGAAGAAAGACACACCUUAGGGAAGGUAUGUCAGACUUGCUCGUAAUAAAAACUAACCUUACGGUUUCCUUUACUUCCAGUUGAGUUAUUGACUCUAAUUCUAGUACUUUUUGUACUUCAAUGUAGAGUCUAAGGAAAAAUAGAGGGCUUAGGGAAUGUGAAGUGACCCUAUGGGUAGGCAACGGAGCAAGAGUUGCUACUGUGGCUGCUAACACCUAUCCUUUGCAAUUACCGUCAGGAUAUAUUUUAUUAAAGACUGCUAUUACAUACCUCCUGCUAGCAGAAAUUUGAUUUCUGAUUCCUUUUUACACAGGAUGAUUAUAUUUGAUAAAGACUACCGCAUAAUUUAUUUUAGAAAUAAAAUUAUUGGCCGUAGUUUUAUGAUUGACAGUCUUUAUCAUUUACAUAUGGAUGUAUCUGCAAAUAUUUCUGAGCAAGUAGUGACUGCUGUUGGGUCUAAGAGAUCUAGAGAUGAGAUGAACCUAAAGUAUAUGUGGCACCUCAGGCUUGGUCAUAUUGGAGAAGAAAUGAUCAAUAAAUUGGAUAAAGAUAGGCUUCUCGGCUCAUUGACUUCAGAGUCUUAUCCAGUUUGUGAAUCUUGUCUUCAAGAAAAAUUGACUAAAUUACCUUUUGUAAGACAAGGGAAAAGGGUCACUGAGAUACUUUCCUUGAUACACAUUGAUGUGUGUGGGCCAUUUGAUGUGCAUGCUAGGGGUGGUUAUCUCUACUUCAUAACCUUUACCGAUGAUUAUUCACGGUAUGGGUAUGUGUAUCUUAUGAAACACAAAUCUGAGGCCUUUGAAAAGUUCAAAAAAUUCAAAUAUGAAGUAGAAAUGCAAACUAAAAAAUCCAUCAAGGUUCUUCGAUCAAAUCGAGGAGGAGAAUACCUUAGUGGAGAGUUUCUAAAUUAUCUCAAAGAAAACGGUAUAAUCUCACAGUGGACUCCUCCGGGAACACCUCAACUCAACGGGGUGUCAGAACGGAGAAACCGAACCUUAUUGGAUAUGGUUCGAUCCAUGAUGAGCUUCACUGAUCUUCCUUUGUUUCUUUGGGAACAUGCUUUGCUUACCGCAGCUUACUUGUUAAAUAGAGUUCCCUCUAAAUAGAGUUCCUACUACGCCGUAUGAGAUAUGGCAUGAUAAGAAACCAAGUCUUGGUCAUAAUAAGAUUUGGGGGUGUCCGGCCCAUGUUAAGCGACUACAGGCGGACAAGUUAGAGGCUAGAUCUGAGAGGGCUCGUUUUAGUAGAUAUCCUAAAGAAUUUUUAGGUUACUAUUUUUAUAUCCCAGAGAAUCACAAUAUAGUUGUGAACAAACAUGCUAUUUUCUUGGAAAAAUAGUUUAUUCAAGAAGAAGCUAGUGGGAGAAAAAUUGAGUUCGAAGAGAGAAUCUCUGAAGAGCAACGAGUCAUCAAACCUACAGAACCUAUUCAAGCUGAGCCAGUACAUGUAGUAUCUCCUCCACCUCGUAGGUCGAGUAGAAUCUCCCAUCCUACUAAGCGAUAUUUAGGUAUCAUUACAAAGGAAGUAGAGGAAAUGUUCCUCAUGGGAGAUAGGGAAUAUGGAGAUGAUCCCAAAACCUACAAUGAGGCGAUGUCUCACAUCGAUUCCGAGAAAUGGCUGGAUGCCAUAAAGUCAGAAAUUGACUCAAUGCAUUCCAACCAGGUUUGGAUUUUGGUAGACCCACCAGAAGGUAUAGUACCUAUCGGGUGUAAAUGGAUCUACAAAAAAAAGAUAGGUUCGGAUGGAAAGGUAGAGACCUAUAAAGCAAGACUAGUUGCGAAAGGUUAUAGUCAACGCGAAGGCAUUGACUAUCAUGAGACCUUUUCACCUGUGGCCAUGCUUAAAUCCAUUCGAACACUGCUUGCCCUUGCAGCAUACUAUGAUUAUGCGAUCUGGCAAAUGGAUGUGAAAACUGCCUUCCUAAAUGGAUAUCUUGAGGAAGAUAUCUAUAUGUAGCAGCCUUUGGGUUUCACUUCCAGUGACGAAAGUCACAAAGUAUGCAAGUUGCAAUGGUCCAUUUAUGGGCUUAAGCAAGCAUCUCGGACUUGGAAUACUCGUUUCAACGACGUGAUUAAAUCAUUUGAUUUCGUUAAGAAUGAGGAGGAACCAUGUGUUUAUAAGAAGGUCAGUGGGAGAGCUGUCGCAUUCCUCGUAUUGUACGUGGAUGACAUUCUCCUAAUUGGGAAUGACAUUCCAAUGCUGACUUCAGUUAAAAUAUGGUUGUCUAAAGAAUUCUCCAUGAAAGAUCUAGGGGAAGCAUCCUAUAUUUUGGGGAUAAAGGUCUAUAGAGAUAGAUCUAUAAGGAUGCUAGGCCUCUCACAGAAAAUGUACAUAGAAGAGGUACUGAAGAGGUUCAGCAUGGAAAACUCCAAAAGAGGACUUUUACCUCUUAGACAUGAAAUUUAUCUCUCUAAGAAAAUGUGCCCCAAUACAUUUGAAGAGAUUCAACGUAUGAGUAAGAUCCCUUAUACCUCAGCUAUAGGGAGUCUUAUAUACGCCAUGCUGUGUACACGAUCUGAUAUCGGGAUUGCUGUGAGUGUCACAAGCAAAUAUCAAUCUAAUCCAGGCGAUGAGCACUGGAUUACUGUGAAGAACAUACUCAAGUACUUGAGAAGCACUAAGGAUAUGUUCUUGGUCUUUGGAGAAAGAGAGUUGAAAUUACAAGGAUAUACUGAUUCAGACUUCAUGUCUGAUGUUGACGAUAGAAAGUCUACGUCACGAUGUGUAUUCUUAUGCAAUGGUGGCUCAGUGUAUUGGAAGAGUUCCAAACAACCACCCUACCAUGGAAGCAGAGUAUAUCGCCGCAUUUGAUGUAGGCCUUCUAAUUCAUGAAGUUUGUCGCGGAAUUAAGUGUGAUGUCAUCGGAUGCCAUACCACUCUAUUGCGACAACAAUAGUGCCAUAACCGUAGCUAAGGAGCCCGGUCUCAUCAGAAGUCCAAGCAUAUAGAGCGGUGGUUUCAUAUUAUAUGCGACUAUCUUGACAGAAAUACAUCGAGAUGUAGAGAGUAGACUCCACGGAUAACGUGGCAGGCCCAUUGACUAAACCACUUAGCCAGCAGAAGACUGAAGUCUAUCUUGAGAAGAUGAGGCUUAGGUAUAUGGCUGAUUGGCUUUAGUGCAAGUGGGAGAUUGUUAGAUGUAUGCCCUAGAAGCCAACCAGGCGACACAUAUAUUCUUUCUAGGACAUAAAUUUGUAUUUGACUUUUAAAUAUUAUGAAUAACUUUGGGAUUUUAUUUUCAUUCAUGUUGUGUAUGCGUCCAUGAAUCGUCCAAGGAAUUAAUAAGAUAAUGACAUAUAUUCUCAAGAGUUGAGAAUUUGAGACAUGUGUCAUUGGUGGUUAAUUCCUAAAUACUCCUGAUCAAUGGAUCAUCACGGGGACGGUGAUUGAUCCGGUGAGAUUGGUGCAUAGGUCGCUUCCCUUUUUGGGUAGACGAGUCUCAAGUUAACAGUGUGGGGACACUGAAGCGAAUAUGCAGAUAGUUGUUAGAGAACAAGGGUACCGAGCGUGACCAACACGAGAAGUCACUUGGAUGUCUACUCACUCGUCAGUGACUUACUCAAUAUUGCAGUAGUGUGAUUGGUCAUUUGACCUGCAGUGCCUCGGCUAUUCACAAUGAGGUUACUGUAGUUUGACUGUACAUACAUUUGGUCCCUAGCCAUUCGGGUCCUUGCGGAGCAUAUUGGCAGCAGUAGGUUCAUUGUAGGAAUAGGGUGCGCACUCAGAUGGAAUCUAUCUCCCUUGGUAGAUAAAGGUGUUAGUCCUAUGUGAUUUAUGAAACCGAAUUUAGAAGACCUUGGCCAACACAGAGUUAAUAGCGGAAAAGCGUUUUCGAUAUUAGAAACUCGAGUCGAAUAAAUUUGACAUAUGACAGACGAUGGGGUUUGACGAGUUAUUCCAUAACCUCCUUCUAGUCGGGACUCAUGAUAGAAGGAUUAUAUUACACGGUAACUGCACCAAGAGGUUCAGUAUUCCAUUCUACUGGAAUGCCACUACAUGCUGCUAGGCGUCACUGGUGGAUUGUGAGACUCAUGAGAAUUAUCUAGAUGAUCGAUAAUUCUCAUUAGGCUAAGUUUGAAUUGUUCCGAUCCACUGAAAGAAGUUUCAGUGAUAUUAUUGAUAGUGAUCAAAAUAUAUCCCACUACCAGAUAGAAUAGAACCUAUGGGGUCACACACAUAAGAGGUUGUGAUUGAUCGGAUAGCUAGAUCGCGAUUAUUGAAUCGUCGGAGGACCUAAUUGUCAAUAUGUUGAUAAUUGGACUAAUUUAUAAUUGUUACAAAUUAGUGGUAUUAAGGUGUAAAUAUAACAAGAGAGGACUUACUAAUAGUUAGUAAAUUAUAAGAGGAUUUAUGUGCAAAUGUUACAUUAUUAAUUUGAUAAGAUCAAAUUAAUAUAAAGUUCAAGUCAAAUCAAAUUAGGAUUUGAUCGAUCUAACCAAUUAAGGAAAGGAUAAAUUUAAAUCUAGAUUUGUACUUAUCCUUAAUGGUUAUCAUAUUAUUAAAAAGAGGAUUAUAUUCCUCUAUAUAAUACGGGAGUUUUUAGAAAACCCUAGCCGCCAUCUCUCUUCUCCUCUCUCUUCCAUAUUCUAGCAAAAAGACGUCCUUUGCAAGGAAACUAGCACCUCGGUGAGGAUAUCGAUCAAAUCAUCAACCUCGUGUGGAUACCUAUAGAGGCCGGACGCGUGUGCGGCUUCAAGAGAACCCAAUUCCACGAUCAUCAAGUUGAGGUGAAGAUUUAUCCACGAAAAAGGUAAAGAUUCGAUCUUGUUUUUCUUCUUUAAUCUUAAAGAACAUGAGGAAUCCUAAUUGCGUGGUUUUUGAGAUUGGAUCUCGAGAGUUUUCAAAAAUCAAAUUUGUUUGAUUUCUUUUUCCGCUGCGUUUUACCAUAUGCAAUUUUCUAACACCAUGUCGCAGAUAACGUCGUGAACUCAUACUUCUUUAUCGCUCACGUCGCCGUCUUCCAACAAGCAUGCUUUCUUCAAUCGUUCGAUGCGGGAGAAUCCCUCAUUGUAUGCAUCUUCGAUCGUCGCGCGGAUUGGUUGUAACCCCAACCCCAUCCAGAAGUCCACGAGCUCGACUUUCCAGAUGGAAUAGCCUUCAGGCCACAGGGCGCAAGUCAAGAAGCAUCUUUUCGUCUGCUCGUCUUCCAAAAUGUCAUAGCUAAAUCUUAUUGUGCUAAGCACAGGGUGAGCAUCCUUCAUACAUGAAUUUCCCGAAAGACGCAUGUUCUCGAGAGACGCGAUAGCGUUCUCCCAUUCUUGCAACGUCCUCUUCGUAGACAUCGAACGGCCUACGAAAAUGAGCGCAAGUGGCAAUCCACUACACCUCCUGCAGACUUUCCUUGCUAAGGAUUGUAUUCGAGCAUCCGAGUUUACGGUGUCUUCGCUAACACUGUUUUUGAACAGCUCCCACGCGUUGUCGGGUUCCACGCACUCCAAUUUGAUCUUGGUAUGAACUCCCAUGUUGCCGCAUACCUUUUCGAACCGUGUCGUCAACACUAUCUUUUGAUUCCUCGUGCCAUUAGGCUGUGGAAUUCCGACUCCUGCGAGGUCUAUCGGCUCCCACAGAUCAUCCAACAGCAGUAAAAACUUCUUGUUCUUUAACAAGUUGAAGAUCGUAGAAGUAUGCGACGUUGUUAUGCUCGAAUCCUGCUUCAAGUAGAGGCCAAUCUUCUCAGCUAUGUCCAGUUGAAGGUUCUCUAACUUGCAACCUUUUGAUGCCGCGAUACAAACGACGUGAUCAUAGCAGAAGCUUUCAAAAUCAGCAAGAAGGUGAUUGUUGAUGGAUUUCAGCAAAGUGGUCUUUCCUACUCCUCCCAUUCCCCAUACGCCGACCACUCCGACUUUGUCGUCUUCGAGGUGGCGAAGUAUCUUCUCUAGAUUGGAUUGCAUUCCGAUAACCGCAGAUGCAAUAGGCAUCUCCUCGAUCGAAGGCAGAGGCAACUCAACGGCGAUUUCUUCAAAAGCGCCUCCUCGAUCAAACAACUCCAUCACUUGUUUAAGCUUCUUCGCAGCUCUUCGACUGAUCCUAUGUUUGCCAAUAAUGUCAAGAGAGAACUCCCCACAGCAUCGGCAUCUUUCAUCGUAAGCGUGUUUUAUCACUUUCACCUCACCUUCGAUGGCUUUGACACUUUGUAACCAUUCUUUCGCUUUGUGCUUGCGUGUUUUAUGUCUUCUUUCUGCGAUGUCGAUUUGCGCUUUUAUAUCAUCUCUUCUAGCUUGCAACCUUUUCGUGAAGAUCGUUAGCUUCUUCAUGUUCCCUCCGACCUUUACGGGAUACCCCAAGUGCAACCCCAAGGGAUUCCAUAACUGAGAUAAAACCACGGCGACAAUUGAUCCGAAAAAAGGAAGCAAAGCCAUUGCUACAAUCAAAGGAAAAAAGAAUUAGCACAGUACAAGGCGAGUUACUUUAUUUGUCGAGAGAUGAUCUCACUUUAGCAUUAAAAAUAAACCGCGUCGGUUCCAAUCGAAAUAGAACAAAACGUAGAGGAGAAGUAAUGAAAUCAUCGAAGGUUCUGAUAUGGCAUGAAUAAAGUGCACAGAGAUGUGUAAGAUCUAUUCUUCAAACAUGCAUGCUCACUACUAAAGGAAAAGAAGGAAAACAACAUAGAUCAGCUCUCGAACAUGAAAUUGAUCAAAAAUCGAACAUUGAAAGUUCAUUGUGUGCAGACGACGGAAUCGCAAGAUCCUCGAAUUUCAUGUUCUAAUUUGCUGAUGAAGUUUUUCAUUUGGUUUUGAGACAAAUCAUCUUCUUCGUUUCCUCGUGUAUCUGUAGAUGUUUACUGCCUUCGUCGAAGCUAUAUGAUGGAUGCAGCUUACCAAAUAAAUUUUUUUUUUUCUCCAUGUUGCAAACUAGUCCUAUUUACUUCUCUCUGACCAUCUAUGUAUCUAGUAUCAGCUUUAACUCGUCUUUUUAUCUUUGUUUCAUAUAAUUUAUUACUUCAUUUUCCUCCUUUCUUAGAAGUUUCAUGUUAUAGUUUCAUCAGCAUAUGUACUCACAUACACCUCCCCUACAAAUGUCAGUUUAGUUGAAAACUUAACCUCAACCCAAAAAUCAGGUGAAUUAAGUAAAAUGUAACUGUGCAAUGUAACUCAGUACACACUUGUGUGUACAUAUUAAACGCAAAGUAUAUGUAUUUUAGCUCGUUGAAUUGGCAUGGCGAUUCUGCUAAAUUUAACAGUUUUUACCUGCUUUUUAGCUGAUCGAAUUGUAGGCUUCUUUAACAUCGACGAACCGUAAGCACGAUCCCCAAUUUCAUUGACUAAACACUAACUCAACAACAAAAAAGGGGGACCGAUCUUCCCUAGAGCAAGUGGCAAAGGGCUUGGUAGUUGGUAUCCGAAAUUCAAGUUCGAAUCCUAGUUGAUUCACAUUUUUAGCUAAGUUUAUUUCUAAAUGAAAUAAACGAAGCGGAUAGCGUGCUACCUAUCUCUAAAAAAAAAAAAAAACAAUGGGAAUGUAAUAUCAAAAAGUUUAUUUCAAAUUGUUUUUAUAGCACAUAUAUACAUUUUUACCCCAAAAAAAAGAUUGAUGCAGGACAACACUUUCUAGCUCCCAUUUCUUACUCUAGACACAUCAUCUUUAAUAUAUAUGUAUCAUUAGAAUGGGAAGGAGAAGGAAAUGAGCAAAAAUAUAUAGCUUUUGUUUUUAUCUACGAGUGAUAACACAUGGCGCAAAUUGCACUAGUUUGGUUAAACUAUGAGUUCUGGUUAGGUGUGUUUGGUUCCAAAUCGGAAUCGGUAUCGGAAUCGGAAUGAGAAUAAGCUGAAAACGGAAUCAAAAUGAUUAAUUAUCUCAUUCUGUUUAGUUUACCACCUAAAUUGGAAUCGAAAUGAGCUAUUCUCGUUGUCGGUGCUUGGUUUAGAUAGAUAACAGAAAAGUAAUCAAAUUAAUAUGUCAAUUUUAUCUNAAAUGUUUCCCAUACUGGGCCAACGCGUUAAGGGAGCUGAGUGCUCGGUCUUAGGCGUGGCCAGCGAGGAGCAUUGAGUCCAGGAGCGGUUAGAGUUCGCCUCACUUCAGUUAGUGCACCCUCCCUAGCUUGUGUAUAAAAGAGUUUCGGCUCUGCACCUUGUGUAGUACAUACGGCCGAUCGGCACCACCAUCUCGUUAGGACAUUCGUUGACCGGGCUGAGCGAGGUUAUGGAGUUUUCCCGGAUGUUUUGCACCUGAUUCGAAGGGUGCAUGAGGUUUAGCCGCUUAGGGAGACCUGCCGCUCUGAAAUUCUUUUUGUACUAGAGGGUGGACCUUGAGGUUCAGAGCAGAGGCCCAUAGUCGUAUCGAGGAGACAGCUGAGACCCGACGAUUAUACACGGCAGCGUGAAGAAAAUGGAAAAGGAGUCGGAGUUAGUCUUAGAGUCCGGGUUCGCAGGAGGAGAGUGGGUGUAGUGAGGUUUUGUUUCCCCUAGCUGUAGACGCAGGUAUGUUGCGGAGUUUGCCUCGGUAGACCUACGAGCGAACUAUCGACAACAACAUGCGUUUGAGUUAGUCAGAGUUUACAGCUAUGGUGGGAGGAGGUUUCAGGUCCUGUGUACGGGAGUCGUACAGGAGAUCUCAGACUUACCAGGAGAGACUGACUGGUAGACAGACACCCACUUUGCGGCACGACUUUACGUUGACUCACGGGUUCCGGCAGACUUCUGAGGAGGUCUUCACGCUAUGCUUGGAGCCCAGGGCCAGUCUAUGAUAGCUUCACCCGUGCGGUACGUUGGAGUGAUAGAGUAGGUUCAUGUUAACUCGCUCAGAGAGGGACCUGGUUCACCAGACGUGACCAUUCUUCACUCGUCUGAACCAGUCAGACAGGUGAUAGUGGGUUUAGCGUAGCUUUGGUGGGACACGAGAGCCGUUAGGCUGCUGUUUCAGGUAGCACUAGACGAGGGUAAAGGUGAGCCCGUGACCAUCUGAGACUUCGAACGGUCGUCCAUGGACUACGAGCCGGAAAUGGACAACUGUUCAGUCUGUGACUCGGUGUUUAGAUGGUUACAGGGAGAAGUAAGGUAAGGUGGUUUUGACUCGGAAAUUUAGGAAUAUGUAAAACCAAGGUGGCCCCACUUGGCAUAUUCCACUUGUCACUCGGAGAGAGUUCUACAGGAGAGCCUAGAGACUUAGGUAUCCAUGUGUGUCAGCCAGGGACAUGGCGUCAUGAGGGCUUGACAGGUGUUGUUUCGGGAGCCGAACAGGGAAGAGUUCGACGAGAGCUUAGGAGCUGUUCACACCUAGGGGUGAAACAAAGAGAGCUUAGGAUAGAUUGUCUCACCCGACGUUCUAGUAUCUGUAGUUAGAGCGUCAUUUUGGUCCCCUGUGAUGGAGCUCAGGGUCGGCAGAGUCGAGGAGCUCAUUGCCAGAGACGGCUCACUAGUUGUAUGAGUUCGAGACGUGACGGAAGGACGAGUUGCGUAGACGGUGGUGUAAGCGGAACGGCCCUACUAUGACCUAUGACUACAGUAUUAGGAAGUCGUUGAGGUUGGUGGCCGCGACAGAGUUUAAGUUGAGGAAAACCCACUUGUCUAUGAACUCUGAAAAUACUAGUCAUUUUUAGAGCGUCACGAGCGGCAUGUUCAUUACGGCGGUCUCGAAGUUUCGCUUUUGGUGGCGCCGUUCGAGGUACAGUACGCAUCCCAUUAAGAAGAGUAUUAGGAAAUUGACGGCACUUCGUAUUCGUUAGUGGGAUGGUACGACGUAGUCGUGCGUUGGUUCAGGUGACACGCUACGUAGUGACAUCUAGUGUUUAGGAAGCGGGUAUUGUCCUUCCCGUUCCUAUCCUCGGUUGCAGUUAGAGUCAGAGUUGAGCAGUUUCGAGUAGACUGUCAGCAGCGAGGUCUGUUUUGCUUAGGGGAAGGCGCAGUUCCCACACUCCCCACACCUUUCGAAGCGUUUCGGAAGGUGUUUGGCUGCCAUUAUAGGACGGUCAGGGGUGCAGUGGAGUAAUCAUGAGGAGCGAGAGGCGACUUGGGAGCCGGAGGCGAUGAUGAAGGAGUCCUACCCCUACCUGUUCGAGGCCCUGGAUUGAGGUCUGUGUACAGUUUCGCGGACGAAACUUUUUGUAGUGGGGGAGGAUGUAGUGUUCCUGAGCUUUGGAUAGGAUUGGCUUCAGUAUUUUAGACUGGUCGACAUCUCUGGAGAGUGUCGGACUGAGUCGGAGUCAAUUCUGCACGAAUUGGAUGCAGAAUUGGACUCGGCGCACUCAAAUAAGCAAAACUGGAGUUUUGCCAGAUUCGGGCGCCCAGAAAAUAUUUAGGGUCGCCCAGAAACGAGUGUUGAAUUUAACUGAAACUGGAAGCCAAUUCGGAUCCCAAGUUCCGGGCGCCCAGAAGUGGGUCCGGAAAUUCGACAUCGUAAAUAUCGCUUGCUUCGACGCGUGGCAGGGUGGUAGGUGAGUUCCGCCGGUGCCGUUUACGGGCGCAGCACACCGCGGGCGGAGAGUCCGAAGGGCCCGGUUUGUGCUGUCGGGAUGUUCUGGUCGCCCAGAACAUGUUUCCGGGCGCCCAGAAACGCCCGUUUCUGCAGGGACAGCAGAUUGCAAGCUUUGUUCUUGAGGUUCAUUUGAUCCUAUUUUCACUCUAUAAAUAGUUGGAAUGCGUCCCUUUGCUGCUCUUUUCUUCCCUCCUACACAGAGAAACCCCUUUUAGCAUCUUAAACCUCGGAUUUGCUUCAAAUUUCAUCAAAUUUCCAUGAUCCAGCUUGAUGGAGUGCUGAUUCUGCAGUUCUUCAGCGACGACCUCCAGCGUUUUGGCUCGUGCGCGACGUAGGAAGGUCGGAUUUCAACGAAAAUUGGUUUGCUGGAUUCUUGACUUCCAGAGGAAUCCACGAAGCCUUGAUUUGCAGAAUUUGGUGAAGGUUAGCUCAGUCGAACUCAGGUUUUCCUCUGCUGCUGUUGCUUUGGACAGAAUUUGCCAAUUUUUGAGUUUUCUUGGGGUGAACUUGGGAAGCAGGGGCUUUGUGGAGUUGAGCCAUUUUCCCUAUCACCCAGUAUUGGAAUUGGGACCCUCUUCACCUGAUUUGGAGUUCGUUAGGUGAGUUUUGACAUUGGAAUUGAGAUAUUUAAGCUUAAGUGCUGUUUUGCUGAAAUUCAUCGUCGACUGUUAGUAUUUCAGCUCGUACUGGACGUAGGAGCAUCGGAUUUCGACGAAACUUGAUUCGUUAGUUUCGGGACUGCGAGAGGAAUCCACGAAGUCCUUACUUGUGGAUUUUGGUGAAGGUUAGCUUAGUCGAAACCCUUCUCUUCUUUGCUGCUGUGUAUUUGGACUGAGUUGUGGAUUUUGAUGUUGAUAGCUUGGAGAUAGCUUGAUUGUGAGACUCGGACAUUUUCCGUCGAUCCAGCAGGUUGUGCCACAGCCGAGGGAGUCCCGUGCUGCCAGGAAUUUGCACUAGAGGUGGGUUAUCAUCGGUUUCGCUCCUAAGUGCAUGUUAGUCAACGUGUAUGGUUCGAUUGUUGUAAAUCAUGCUCUAAUUCAUCGAUUAGCAUUUUUAAAUGUAAUAUGAAUGUAGAAGCAUGCUGAAAUGAAUAUUUAGAUUAUACAUGUUGGACUUGAAAUUUGACUUAGGAGAAAACCUGCGUUUUGACCCGUCAUAUGCUUAAACUACCAGAUUUAGCUCUAGGAGCCGUGUUUCGAUUGUAUCGUUGCCGUAUUAGUGCGAUGGAUACCUGGGGUAGUUUAGAUGGCAUUUACGCUCGUGCUGAGGUGCCGAGCUUAUUUUCAGCAGAGUAUAGGCUGUUUCGGGUCAUUGGGUGCCGUUCGGGUUAGCGGUGGACCCAGAUUCUUGUUUUGGUCACAGAUUGUGCCGAGGGCACGUGGGUUUGGUUUGUAGACCUGUUUUGACCCUGUUCACUUGACUUUGGCUAGUUGGAGCCUGUUUGAGCUCGACAGAGAUACGCUGCAUACUCGGUUGGGUAGCGCCCACGAGUGCCACUCCGGAGUCAGGCUUGUGCUUUUGCGUUGGUGUCGCUCAUGCCAGUUGGACUUGCUCUCCACGACCAGUUAGUGUGGAUAGAGCUUGAUAGUCACAACGGGGCAGGGACGGGUGUAUUCACAGUCCCGGGGACGGGUAUGCUUACAGUCCCGAUUGGAUUGGGUCAGAUUUGACAUUUCCUACAGUUGGUUAGUGUAGAGCAUGAUAGUAUAGUGAUUUGUAGCGGUUGAGUUUAUUUCCUGCUUUUCCUCCUAUUCUCGCUCCCUUCUGUAGACUUAGUGGGUGGACCGAUAUUGUUUUGGGCGGUACCCACUGAGGACUACUUGUUUUUACAGUAGUUCUCACGCCCAGUUGUUACACCUGUUUUGCAGAGCCACAGGUUUCGGCUGCUGCGCCUUCCGCAGAUCAGGAUCGAGGCAAGGGCGUCGCGAGUUAGAGCCCUACCCGACGUGCUGAGCUAGAGGUGCCCCUAUUGCAGGUAGAUGUUUUGUUUCGAGUUUAUGUACAUAGUAGACCUAACUCGCCAGUGCGAGUAGCUUUGUAUUUUGGAUUUGGACUAUGUAUAUGAAACUCAGCUGGUUUAGUUUCUGUUUUUUUCUAGCAGCUCUCUACUACUGUUCGUAGUAGUGUUUGAUUUACAGGUACAGCUAUCGCUACGUAUACAGGAAAAAUUCCUUUGUAUACGGCGGAUUUGUCGGCGUGCCCGGGAAAAGUAUAAUCCGGGGCGUGACAAUCAAAGUGAGGCUUGAGCUAGUUGGACAUCAUCCCCGAGUGAUUUUGGAUGCGUGGGAAUGAAUUCCGGAGAUAAAUGAGUGUUUUGGCGCAAAUUAGGCGCGAAACGAAAGGAAAAAGGAGUUUUCGGAUUAUAGAGUUAACUUUGAUUAAAUAAAUCAAAGUAAGAAGCUUGAGGAUAAUUGGACGCUAACUUUGAAUAAAUAAGUCAAAGUGAGGCAGGAGGAUGAAUUGUAGUAUCCUCGAAUCAAUUUGGAUGCGUGGGAGUGACUUCUGAGAACAAUUGAGUGUUUGAUGCAAAUCGGGCGUAAAGUGAAAGAGUUUUGGUUUAUGAGGUUAACUGGAAAUUUUAUUGUUCAAAGAGAAGCAAUAAUAUAAAUGUGGUAUUCCAGAACUAAAUUGAUAGCUUAGGGAUAGUGUUUAGCAUGCUUUGGAGGUAAUUAGAUGGAUUCGGAAUGAACUAAAUGAGCAAAAAGGCCUCCAAUUGCUGCUGCUGCCAUGUAGUAUGUUGGAGUUGGAUUAUGUGCUAAUCUUGAUCAAAAUGAUCAAGAUAAUGCAAAAAUGAAAUUAGUUUGCUCUCGAGCUUAAUUGGUAGCUUGUGGAGGUUUAUUAGUAUAUUUUGGAAGUGUUUGGAUGGACUCGGAGUGAACUAGACACGCCAAAAGGGUUGUAAUUGCUGCUGCCAGGUUGCUGUUAGUGCAGGGACUGAUUUGUAAACCUGCAGGGACUGAUUUGUAAACUGUUGGACUGCAAUGCAAUUUCAGCCUUUUGAGGGGUUAAGUUGCAGAUUUUUGAGCUUAUCCCAACCCCAGCCACUCCCUGUAGCUGCCCACGUACCAGAUACCAUCUCCCAUAACCUUCUUCUUAUCUAAUUCUCCCUCUUUUUCUCUCUCAACCCUAGAAGCAAAAUAGUGAAGGAAAGUGUUGGAGACUUGGCAGCUUUGGUGUCUUGGUCGUAUUGGAGCUGCCGAAGUAGAAACCCAGCCUUGGAAUACUUCGAACCUGAGGUAAAUAAUUUGUUCUCAGCUGGGAAUUAAUUUGUUUGUUGCUUUAAAGAGAGUAGAAGCAAUAGAAUUUCAGUUUUCUGAAAUUGUAGGGGAAAAGCUUGGUGGAGUAGUGCAGUUUUUAAGGGUUUGAGCUGAAAAGAAGGCUUUAGAACAGGGAAGCUAGCUGUUGGAGCAUCAAGAUAAGGUAAACUUGAUCCAAUUAUGAUUAGGGUUCAAUUAUUUAUCUUAGAAAGAUGUUAAAUUGGAAUAGUAUGCUGGUUGAGGGUGUAGAAACCUGAAAAACUGCAUUGUGGACAUGGUAUUUGUGAGCUAUGGAUUAGGAAUGCAAUCUAAGAUGGAAUUAAUGGAAAGUUAAGUUAAUUCCUGGUUUAAAGGGUGCAUAUUUAUAUUCUAAAGAGGUCUAAAUCGCAUAUUUUAAGUAUUAUGACUCCUAAUUAAUACUGAAAGGCUUAAGGAAAAAUUGUGGAAGCAUGCAUGUAUAUGUAUGCAUAUGUAUGUAUACUUGUGAAUAUAUAUGUGAAUUGGUUAUUGGGAAUGAAACCUGAGGUGGAAGAGACCUAAUUCCUGGUUACAGUACAUGGUGUUUGACUUAAAGAAGAAGUAGACAAUGGGAUUAUAGGUUUCUAAAGUUGAAAUUGCCGUGAAAACCUAUAGAAAAGCCAUAUGUUGAAUGUAGUAUGUAAACUCUUGGGUUGACGUGAGCCUGUAGAAAUGAGAAGUAACAGGAGUUCAUUUCUGGUAUUCCUAAAUUAAUGGGUUGAAGUCCUUAAAUUGUUAGAGUUUGUAGUACUCUAUAGGUUUUUGUAGAACCUGUAUAGAGGGGUUGACAAUAGGUUAAAUGGAAACCUAAGCUCGAUAAUGCACUUUUGUAGGAUCGAGGUUCUCGCUUGGAAUUGAUCGCGUACAAACCUAAUUAAGGGCAAGGCGAACACGUUGGAAAGCUCGGAUCGAUAUUCCGACGAGCCUACGGCAAGCUAGUGAGGAAAACCUCAUUUUAGCUCAAGUUGUCGCGCGCAAGGAUUGCGGUCGUCCGUAAAGUGCGGGAAGUGAAUUUCUCACAUUCCGGUAUCAACUAAAGAUGGGUUGUGCUUCACCGAAGCGAUUAGGUCGCUUCCAUGCCAAAGUAAUGUAUGGUUUUCAUUGAUGCAUAUAUGUAUAGUGGUAGGUUAUGAAUGAUAAAGUGAAUGUGUGAAUUAUGAUAUAUUAGCUAAUGUUACCUACUGUUGAAAUAUGCAUAUGAAUACAUUAUGGAUAAUGUUAGAGAAUAUAUAAAUAUUGACAUAUUGUGAACAUGCUAGAUUCACAUGAAUUGAGUAUUAGUCGAUAACUCUAGGUUGAUUAGAGAAUUCGCCGUUUAUAAAGUGUAAAGUGAGAAUAUGUAAACUAUGAUCCCAGGCAAGGAUAACUAGGCUGAUACAUAGAUCGAGUGGCAUGAACCUAGUGUUAUUAAACAUAGGUUGGACAUGAACCUAGUGUCAUUGAACAUAGGUGUCGAGAUCUAGGUGAAAUGACAUAGAACCUAGCGUGAUUGAACCUAGGUUAUGAUGUAUAGUGACACUUAGUAUAUUUGAACUAAGUCAUGGGUUAUAGUGAUAGAAGGACCACUAGGAAAUAAAUUGAGUUAGACCUAGGAAGGUCGUCAACAUAAGGUAAGUAUUAAACCCUUAAGUUGUGAAAGUGGUUUUCGGAAUCCCUAGGAAUGGUGCUGUUGGCAAAAAUAGAAUCAGAACUACGGGUUUGACGGUUCUUCUCGCCCGGUAGUGAUUCAACGGGAUCGACGGUUCUCCUCUCCUGGUAUGAGCUCAACGGGUUUGACAGUUCUCCUCGCCCGUUAAGCUUUAGCAGCUUAGGGUCACGGGGAACGAUGGUUCUCCCCUCCCUAUGAUGGACCUAUAGUCGUGUGGACUUAAGGCUGAGGUGCUUGUGAGACGUCCUUCACCUCGAGCCUGACUUGACGCGGUACUCCUCGGAUGAUUGACUCGAGACCGAGUAGGGUGGAUAGCUUGAUUAAGGUAGAUGAAACCUUAGAAGCUAGUGUGAUUUGAACUAUGGAUAGCGAGAUAGAAAGUAGGAUCAGCAGACCUACUGGACAUAGUUGCACAAUUUGCAUAUUGCAUACCGUGAGGCAUACAUGUAUUAAUAUUAUCUGCAUAAAUUAUUUGUGAAUAUCUGUUGAACUAACAUGUUACAGUGCCUCUUUUGGACCUGGUGUGUCGAGCUCUUCCCUUGGGUGGCCGUACCCACUGGGAACUAUAUUUAUAUAGGUUCUCACCCCGGUGUUGUUUUUGGGGGUACAGGUUCGCACGUGAGCGGCGCGGCGGCGCAAGGACAGGGUGUAGCUCCGUAGAUAGCGCCCUACUACUGAGACCAAGAUAGCAGUAUCUUGAAGUGGUCUAGCUCAGAGUUCAGAAUAAAAGUAACAAACUUGUAGUAAUUUGUAUAAAGGCUUAUGUAAUAACUUAAAGGUAUUUGUAGUAUUGUAAAAUGUAAUAAAUCUCUGAGAUGAAUGCUUGUAAUAGCAUAGUAGCAUUUUAUGUUUUUGAUACUUAUGCAGUCUAUGUUUGAAUACUGUUCCUGGUUGGAACCUCUUAUAUUGCAUUGUAUAGAUUGUGACGCCUAGAACGUACAGGAAAAGCUUUGUCCGUUCGGCGGUCUGUCGGCGUGCCCGAAUCCGACCAAAUAGGCGGAGCUCGGAGCGUGACACUUUACGUGAUUUAAAUUGCAUCUAUUAGGUUAGAUUUUAUUACGCAAUUUAUUAUGCGUAUUAUUAAUAAAAUUAAUUAACUAUAUUAUAUAUUAUGAAUUAUUAAUAAAAUUAAGUAACUAAUUUCAAAGAGUUUAGAGAUUUAAAAUUUGAAAAUAAAUAUUAUAAAUUAAAUUUAAAUUUUAAAAGAUAAAAUAUAAAAUUUGAAUUUAAAACUUAAAAAUUUGAAAGUAUCGAGCUUUUGGGAUUAAUGGUUAGCGCCAACGAUCCGACAAGUGGUAUCAGAGCCAGAGGUCACGGGUUCGAUUCCUGCAUGCUGUAAAUAUGUGCAGGUGCUGGAGGGGGGAUUGUUGGCUUAAAUGGGCCAGCAUCCUGUCCUGUGGCGGGAGGCCAUAUGGGCCGAGUCAUGUUCGAAAUGGCGUGAGGCUGGGUUGGGCCGAGUCAUGUUCGAAAUAGCGUGAGGUCAGGUGGGCUGAGUCACAAUCGAGACCUGUGGGCGCUGUUUCUGUACGCUUUAAGUGAAUUGGUUGCGUAUUUCUAACAGCUCGAGCUUUCGGGAUUAAUGGUUGCGCCAACGAUCCGACAAGUUUUAUCAGAGCCAGAGGUCACGGUGUAUUCGAUCCUGCGCAUGUCUGCAAAUGCUGUGCAGGCGUGCGGAUAGGGGGAUUGUUGCCUUAAAUGGGCCCAGAUGCAGUCCUGCUGUGGCGGUGUAGGCCAUGAUGGGCCAAGUCUUGUUCGAAAUAGGUCGUGGAGGCUGUUGUGCCGAGUCAAUGUUCGAGAAUGACGUGUAGGCCAGGUGGGGCGGAUGUCACAAUCGAGACCUCGUGAGCCGCGCUGUUUCUGUACGCUUUAGUUGAAUUGCGUUGGGUAUUUUCUAACAGGCCUCGAGCUUUUUGGAUUAAUGGUUAGCCGCCAACGAUCUGACAAGGUAUCAAACUAGAGAGUCAGGCGUUCGAUCCUGCAUGCUGGCCAAAAUGUGUUUUGCAGGUGCUGUGGGGGGAUUGUUGGCUUAAAUGUGGGCAUCCUGCCCUGUGCGGUCGAGGCCAUGUAUGGCCGAGUCCAGUGUUCGAAAUGUGCGUGGGCUGGCGUUAGGGGAGUAUGUUCGACAAGUGGCUGAGGCACAGGUGGGCCGAGUCACAAUCGAAAUUGGUUUGUGGCGCUUGUUUCUGACGCUUUAAGUGAAUUUUGGGUCUGCGUAUUUUCUGACAGUCGCGGCUUUUGGAUUAGAUGGUUAGCCGCCAACGAUUCCGACAAUGUCGUAUCAAGAGCAGAGGGUCACGGCGGUUCGAUAUCCGCAUUGCCUGCAAAUUGUGUGCUCAGGUGUGGAGGGGGGAUUGUUGGCUUAAAUGGAGCACAGAUUCCUGCCCAUGUGGCGCCGGAGGCCACUGGUGGGCCGAGUCAUGUUCGAAUCAUGGCGUGUGAGGCUGGGUUGGCCGAGUCAUGUUUGAUCAGUGGCGUGAGGGGGGGGGGGGGGGGGGGGGGGCGGGGGUGGCCAGGUGGGCCGAGUACAAUCGAGGACCCCGUGGUCGCGCUGUUUCGAACAUGACCUCGCUUUCACAGUGGCCUCCCGCCCACAGGGCAGGGGAUGCUGGCCCAUUUAAAGCCAACAACCCCCUCCAGCACCUGCACACGAUUCUGCAGCAUUGCAGGAAUCGGAACCCGUGACUCUAGCUCUGACUACCACUUGUCUUGAGAUCGUUGCGCACUAACCAUUAAAUCCCAAAAGCUCGAGCUGUUUAGAAAUAUGCAACCAUUCACUUAAAGGUACAGAAACAGCGCUCACGGGUCUCUGAUUGAUGAUCGGCGCCCACCUGGCCAUCACGUCACUUCGAACAGACUCGGCCCCCAACCCAGACCUCACGCCAUUUCGAAACAUGACUCGGCCCACAUUGGCUCCCCUACCAGGUAAUCAGGUAGGAUUGCCGGCCUAUUUAACGCCAACAAUUAAUUAUAAUAUAUAUAGAAUUGAGCUCCUAUGCCCUUUUAAAAGUACCGAAGUUAUUUGGUGCUUAGUAGAUUUUUAGCUAUUGGCAUUAAGAAAUAUGGGGUGUAAGAUGAUGUGGCCCUAGGGUUAGUGGGUCGUGUGUUGGCUUAAUGUAUAAUCUAAUGGUUUGAAAAUGAUCUAAGAAAUACGAUCUACUGGCUAAAAAAUCUUACACAGCACCAAGUGCUUAGUUACUUUUACAAGCACGCAUAGCCGACGAUCUAUACUAUAUAUAUAUAUAUUAAUUUAUAAUAUAUAGAGGAGAAAGACGUAAAUGUUCGUCGGGUUUGGGGGACAUCGUUCACCCCCUUGGUCUCCGCAAACUCUUCUUUAAUGUUAGAGAAAAAUAAGAUAUAUAUUAUAUAUUAAUUAAUAUAUAUAUAGAUAUAUAUAUAUAUAUAUAUAUUAUAUAUAAUAUUAUAUAUAUAUAUAUUAUAGUAUAUAUAUAGAGUCAGGCGUGCCUAUACUAUCGGUAGCACGCACCUUCCCGUGCUACCAAGUCGUUUUUCGAUGAUGCGGUUCCAAAGAGAUCGGCGCGCGCGCGCGCUCCGUUAGACUUGAUCCUUCACUAUUAACAGUAUUUGGAAACUAAGUUUCAUUAAUUUUUCGACCAUCAUUUGACUAUGUGAUCAAAAGAUCUCAAAAAUUGACCAUUUUAAUGGCCGAUGUGGCCUGUAUUGUGAGUUUAACGGAAUUGUAAACAAUCUAAAUCCGAUAAAAAUUUUUUUAAAAUCGUUUUCACUAUGUUAGUGUAAGAUCAUUAUAUCUGAUCUUGAAUUUAAAAUCUUUUAUCAUCAUUUUUUAUGAGAUUUUUAUUGUUCAGCCGUUUCAAUUGUUAGACUAUUUGUUUGAUAGCAGUGAAUGAUAGUCGAAAAUUAUAUAUGAAAUUUUAGUUUCAAAUGCUUUUAAUGGUGUAGAUCAAUGUCUAACGGACCACCCGGAUCGUCGAUUUGGAAGCCGCCAUUCAUUGAAAACAACUUGGUGCACGAGAGCCCGUCGGCUACCGAUAGCAUAGUUAGCCGGACCUUUAUAUAUAUUAUAUAUAUAUAAUAUAUUAUAUAUUAGUAUUUAUAUUAUUUAUAAAUAUUAUUAUUAAAUAUAUAAAAAUUUUAUUUAUAGUAUAUAAAUAUAAUACUAUUAUAUAUUAUAUUUAUCCUUUUUAUAAUGUAUGUAAAUAUAUUUUAUUUAACAAAUAUUAAUUAUAAUAAAUAAUAACUUUCGAAUUAUGCUAGAAUACUAUUAAUAACACAAAUGACUUUGUGCUAUUAAAUUUUCUGCCCUUAGAGUUAAAAGAAUGUGCGUUAGGAUGUGUUGGGACUCCAGGUUGAGUGGAAGUGGUGCGUUUGAAUGUAAGUAUAUCGAACAGAUGAAAAUAAUGAAAAAGAAGGUAAUUACUUAUAUCCAGGCCGGACUUUAAUACUCCUCAUUGCUAUCGUAGAUAUCCCAGCGACUAUAAUAAUUAUAAUUUAAAACUUAUAAUUGUUAUAUAUCAAUAAUCAAUAAUAUAUAAUAUGUGAAGAACAAACAUAUCUAUUAUUAUAAUUUUUUUAUUUUUUCCUUUUCAACAAUAUACCAUAACGAUUUUUUUUUUACAAAUGCAAAAACUAGCGAACGUAAACCUUUUUUCCGACCGAAAAUUUUUUCUAGUCAAAAUUAUUUUCAGAAUUUACGUUGAAGCCAAACAGUUCCUGCAUUUGGUUGGAUAGGAUAUUCCGACAAGCGAGAUAUCUCCUUUAUCCCCCAAAACACAAGGGCAGGCUUAACGGGUUAUUCGGAAGGUAACCUGUUGAGCCCAGUUCCCUUGCACAUGUGAGAACAACACGGGAACAAAAAAAAUCUUUGGGCGUCUUUUUCUUUUAGCCUAUCUUGCCCUUUUAUUUUCUUUAUCUUAUAUUUUAAUUAAUUCAAAUAAUAUCAAAUUGAAUGCUCAAUUUUAUUGCUUACUAAAUUAAUAUUUCUAAGGUGUUUCGUAAACAUAUCAAAUUUUUGAAAUAAUUUGCUCUUCUAUAUUUAAAUUAUAAUAUUAUUAUAUUUAAUAUCUUUAAUUAGUUUCAAAUAUAAAAUUGGAAGUAUAUUUUUACUGUUAUAUUCAAAAUUAUAUUAUUAUAUAUUAAUUAUAUUUCUAUUCAUAUAUAUUGAAUUAUAUUUUAUUAUUAUAUUCAAGGGUAUAAUUGUCAUUUUACUUAAUUUUUAUCAAUUCAAUACCUUAUUUCAAUAUAAACAUCCAAACACAAUAUAGAGAUAUCCUCUAGAACAAACAAAUAACAUCCAAAUGUAAUUUAGAACUUGUUCUAGUUUAUUCUAGAAUAUUCUCUGUUCUCGAUAACAACUUAAAGUUAUUUUUCAAAAUUUAGUUGUCGGACAAAACGCAGGAUUUAUGUUUUUUUUUUUUUUUUUUUUUUUUGAGAGAUGGGUAGCACGCUACCCGUUUCGUUUAUUUCAUUUAGAAAUAAACUUAGCUAAAAAUUUGAAUCAAUUAGGAUUUAAAUUUAGGUCUCGGAUACCAACCAACGAGCCCUUUGCCACUUGCGGACGGUCGGUAGGGUUUAGGGUUAUUAUUCGCGAAUUAUUCGUUAAAAUUAGGAUUUAAAUUUAGGUCUCGGAUACCAACCAACGAGCCCUUUGCCACUUGCGGACGGUCGGUAGGGUUUAGGGUUAUUAUUCGCGAAUUAUUCGUUAAAAUUAGGAUUUAAAUUUAGGUCUCGGAUACCAACCAACGAGCCCUUUGCCACUUGCGGACGGUCGGUAGGGUUUAGGGUUAUUAUUCGCGAAUUAUUCGUUAAAAUUAGGAUUUAAAUUUAGGUCUCGGAUACCAACCAACGAGCCCUUUGCCACUUGCGGACGGUCGGUAGGGUUUAGGGUUAUUAUUCGCGAAUUAUUCGUUAAAAUUAGGAUUUAAAUUUAGGUCUCGGAUACCAACCAACGAGCCCUUUGCCACUUGCGGACGGUCGGUAGGGUUUAGGGUUAUUAUUCGCGAAUUAUUCGUUAAAAUUAGGAUUUAAAUUUAGGUCUCGGAUACCAACCAACGAGCCCUUUGCCACUUGCGGACGGUCGGUAGGGUUUAGGGUUAUUAUUCGCGAAUUAUUCGUUAAAAUUAGGAUUUAAAUUUAGGUCUCGGAUACCAACCAACGAGCCCUUUGCCACUUGCGGACGGUCGGUAGGGUUUAGGGUUAUUAUUCGCGAAUUAUUCGUUAAAAUUAGGAUUUAAAUUUAGGUCUCGGAUACCAACCAACGAGCCCUUUGCCACUUGCGGACGGUCGGUAGGGUUUAGGGUUAUUAUUCGCGAAUUAUUCGUUAAAAUUAGGAUUUAAAUUUAGGUCUCGGAUACCAACCAACGAGCCCUUUGCCACUUGCGGACGGUCGGUAGGGUUUAGGGUUAUUAUUCGCGAAUUAUUCGUUAAAAUUAGGAUUUAAAUUUAGGUCUCGGAUACCAACCAACGAGCCCUUUGCCACUUGCGGACGGUCGGUAGGGUUUAGGGUUAUUAUUCGCGAAUUAUUCGUUAAAAUUAGGAUUUAAAUUUAGGUCUCGGAUACCAACCAACGAGCCCUUUGCCACUUGCGGACGGUCGGUAGGGUUUAGGGUUAUUAUUCGCGAAUUAUUCGUUAAAAUUAGGAUUUAAAUUUAGGUCUCGGAUACCAACCAACGAGCCCUUUGCCACUUGCGGACGGUCGGUAGGGUUUAGGGUUAUUAUUCGCGAAUUAUUCGUUAAAAUUAGGAUUUAAAUUUAGGUCUCGGAUACCAACCAACGAGCCCUUUGCCACUUGCGGACGGUCGGUAGGGUUUAGGGUUAUUAUUCGCGAAUUAUUCGUUAAAAUUAGGAUUUAAAUUUAGGUCUCGGAUACCAACCAACGAGCCCUUUGCCACUUGCGGACGGUCGGUAGGGUUUAGGGUUAUUAUUCGCGAAUUAUUCGUUAAAAUUAGGAUUUAAAUUUAGGUCUCGGAUACCAACCAACGAGCCCUUUGCCACUUGCGGACGGUCGGUAGGGUUUAGGGUUAUUAUUCGCGAAUUAUUCGUUAAAAUUAGGAUUUAAAUUUAGGUCUCGGAUACCAACCAACGAGCCCUUUGCCACUUGCGGACGGUCGGUAGGGUUUAGGGUUAUUAUUCGCGAAUUAUUCGUUAAAAUUAGGAUUUAAAUUUAGGUCUCGGAUACCAACCAACGAGCCCUUUGCCACUUGCGGACGGUCGGUAGGGUUUAGGGUUAUUAUUCGCGAAUUAUUCGUUAAAAUUAGGAUUUAAAUUUAGGUCUCGGAUACCAACCAACGAGCCCUUUGCCACUUGCGGACGGUCGGUAGGGUUUAGGGUUAUUAUUCGCGAAUUAUUCGUUAAAAUUAGGAUUUAAAUUUAGGUCUCGGAUACCAACCAACGAGCCCUUUGCCACUUGCGGACGGUCGGUAGGGUUUAGGGUUAUUAUUCGCGAAUUAUUCGUUAAAAUUAGGAUUUAAAUUUAGGUCUCGGAUACCAACCAACGAGCCCUUUGCCACUUGCGGACGGUCGGUAGGGUUUAGGGUUAUUAUUCGCGAAUUAUUCGUUAAAAUUAGGAUUUAAAUUUAGGUCUCGGAUACCAACCAACGAGCCCUUUGCCACUUGCGGACGGUCGGUAGGGUUUAGGGUUAUUAUUCGCGAAUUAUUCGUUAAAAUUAGGAUUUAAAUUUAGGUCUCGGAUACCAACCAACGAGCCCUUUGCCACUUGCGGACGGUCGGUAGGGUUUAGGGUUAUUAUUCGCGAAUUAUUCGUUAAAAUUAGGAUUUAAAUUUAGGUCUCGGAUACCAACCAACGAGCCCUUUGCCACUUGCGGACGGUCGGUAGGGUUUAGGGUUAUUAUUCGCGAAUUAUUCGUUAAAAUUAGGAUUUAAAUUUAGGUCUCGGAUACCAACCAACGAGCCCUUUGCCACUUGCGGACGGUCGGUAGGGUUUAGGGUUAUUAUUCGCGAAUUAUUCGUUAAAAUUAGGAUUUAAAUUUAGGUCUCGGAUACCAACCAACGAGCCCUUUGCCACUUGCGGACGGUCGGUAGGGUUUAGGGUUAUUAUUCGCGAAUUAUUCGUUAAAAUUAGGAUUUAAAUUUAGGUCUCGGAUACCAACCAACGAGCCCUUUGCCACUUGCGGACGGUCGGUAGGGUUUAGGGUUAUUAUUCGCGAAUUAUUCGUUAAAAUUAGGAUUUAAAUUUAGGUCUCGGAUACCAACCAACGAGCCCUUUGCCACUUGCGGACGGUCGGUAGGGUUUAGGGUUAUUAUUCGCGAAUUAUUCGUUAAAAUUAGGAUUUAAAUUUAGGUCUCGGAUACCAACCAACGAGCCCUUUGCCACUUGCGGACGGUCGGUAGGGUUUAGGGUUAUUAUUCGCGAAUUAUUCGUUAAAAUUAGGAUUUAAAUUUAGGUCUCGGAUACCAACCAACGAGCCCUUUGCCACUUGCGGACGGUCGGUAGGGUUUAGGGUUAUUAUUCGCGAAUUAUUCGUUAAAAUUAGGAUUUAAAUUUAGGUCUCGGAUACCAACCAACGAGCCCUUUGCCACUUGCGGACGGUCGGUAGGGUUUAGGGUUAUUAUUCGCGAAUUAUUCGUUAAAAUUAGGAUUUAAAUUUAGGUCUCGGAUACCAACCAACGAGCCCUUUGCCACUUGCGGACGGUCGGUAGGGUUUAGGGUUAUUAUNCCCCCCCCCAGUUUUCAGAUGCAUAAUAGGAAUGGAUUUAAUUAAAGAAAACAUGCUGCUCCGUUUGAUUGUAGUGUGUGAUAUGUUCUUAAUUAGAUGGCUUAUACGGAAGAGGUUGUUGCUUAGCUUUCGAGGUUGAGUUAAGAGGUGUACAAGGCCCACAUUUGUGAAUAAUGUUGAUCUGGAUGCUAGCUAGGAACCUUUUCUAAUCUUGUUGAAGUGAUGAGCGUUCGUAAUUUGUUGUGGGAUAAGAUUUAUGUUUCAAUUGAUGAGCAACUCACUAUGUUCUACGUACAGUAGGCCACAACAAAAAAAAUAAAACUCUGAAAAUAGUGUUUGUUUGUUCAGACGAGACCUUCGUUUGUAGGUCACUAUUUUGUUGAAUGGUUCUUUAAUAUGGUUUCAACAUACAGGAGGCAUCGCGUAGUAGCUUCUCUCUCAAUCGACGAGCAAUCCCCUCUCUUUUUCCUUCUCCAACCCAAAAAAAGAUAAUCAAUUCUCUGCUAUAAUGGGCGAAAGUGAUGACACGCAAAUACUUACUAGGUGGAGCACUUUACUCUUUCGUCACUGUAAAUCGAUCCCUCUCUUAGCAAUAUUCAGUAGUUUCCACUAAUUUCACUAUAUCGAUGGUUUGACAGGUGCAGAGAAGAAGGUCCUCGCCUCCUUGCUGUGCUGAAGGAAAUGAAGGAUGGAUUAGAUGCCGUGAGGAGCAAAGUUGAAGCCCUUACCCUUAAGGUAAAUUAAAGUUAAAUGGUAUCUCUAUUGUGGUCGAAUGGCCGUGCACUUGUUCUCAGAAAUCUGCUUCGAUGUGAGAAUUCUUAUUAGGACAUUGUGUUUGCCGGUGAAAUUUCUAGGAAAGAGAGAAAUAUGCAGUAAAAAGAUAGGCUAAUUUUUNNNNNNNNNNNNNNNNNNNNNNNNNNNNNNNNNNNNNNNNNNNNNNNNNNNNNNNNNNNNNNNNNNNNNNNNNNNNNNNNNNNNNNNNNNNNNNNNNNNNUUAAGAUUACUGAAUUUUAUAAAAUGAACCAAACAUAAUAAUUUUAUUUAUUAUAAUCGAGUCUGGCUACUAUACUUUUACGAGUAUAGAGCCUCUUGUACUCAUAAGUUUUUUGCCGUUUGAUCUAACCUUUAAUCAUUUUUAUCCGUUAGAUUAUACUAUUCAACCAACAACCCACUCAACCCUAGGGGGCCAACUAUAAACCUAACCGUAACCACUCUUAUCCUAACCGCACAUUUUUUAUCUGAACGGUCAAAAAGUUAUGAGUAUAAAGGGCUCUAUACUCAUAUGAGUAUAGUAGCCACAACCAUAGUUAGUUAAUUCGCGAAUUAUUCGCGAAUUUUUGAAAUACCGAAUAAAACUCCCGUUUUCGUAUUUUUCCCAAAAAUUCGGAAUAAUUCGCGUUUUUUUGGGUAAGAGGAAUUAUUCGCGAAUUAAACUGGAUUCGCGAAUAAUUCGGCCCAAAAAAUCGGCCCAGAAUCAGGUUUGCCUCGCCCCAAAACCCACUCUGCCUCAGGGCCCUCACGGCCUCACCCUGUCGCCCAAAAGGCCGAAAAAAAAAAAAAAAACAAAAACAAAAACAAAAACCUUUUGAAAAGAAUCGCUCCCCUCCCACGAGUUCCCAAAAAAGGGUUUGCCCUAACUUCUCACACCUGACCCCUGCGGCGGUGCGGCCUGCCACCGACCCCUGCGGCGGUCGCCCUCUUCCCUUCCGGCCGGUCGUCGAACGCCAUCGCGGAAGCCCUCCUCUUCAGAAAUCGAAGACCGAAGAUCGGGUCCUUCACUCUUCAGAAAUCGAAACCCUCCUCGUCGCCUCUUCCUCUUCCGCUUCCGCUUCCGCUUCCGCUAUCCAACGGUAGAUCAGUAAUCGGGUGGUUCUUUACAAACCAGGUACGAUUUGAGUUUUCGGUGGUUCUUCAAAGCAAAAGUUGCAAGCGUUUAGUCCAUCUGAUGGAUACUUUUUUAUACACAAAUGGCUGAGUGCUUAAUUGAAUGUGUCCAUUCUCUGUUAUGCACAAAGAAGACCCAAACAUAGUGCUAAAUAAUAAUCUUAAUUAACUUAGGGACCAGGAACUCUUGUAUUAUACCUAGUCAAUUUCAUGAUCUUGUCGUCACUUGCAAAAGGAAAAUUUUGUUGUGGUCUUUCAUGGACAAUUGACUCAGUGGGGUUUCUACUUAAUUUUUGAAACAUAACUUUUUAGUAUUAGAAAUGCAGCAUUUUUUCACUAUAUAAUGAGAAGAUCUGGAGAAUAAGANACCCAUAUAAUAACCGACCGUCCCUAAAGCAAGUAGCAAAGGGCUUGGUGGUUGGUAUCCGAGGUCCCAGGUUCGAAUCCUAGUUGAUUCACAUUUUCAGCUAAGUUUAUUUCUAAAUAAAAUAAACGAAGCGGAUAGCGUGCUAUCUAUCUCUCUCAAAAAAAAAAAAAAACCACCCAUAUAAUAGGGGACAAAAAAAAAAAAUUAGAGUUGAGAUCCAUGUAUAAUACAUAGCGUAUAACACUUCUAUUUAUUUAUUUUUUUUUUAGAGAUAGGUAGUAUGCUACCCACUUCGUUUAUUUUAUUUAGAAAUAAAUUUAGUAAAAUAUGAACCAAGUAGGAUUCGAACUUGGAAUCUCGGAUACCAACCACUAAGCCCUUUGCCACUUGUACUAGGGACGGUCGGUAACAUCUCUUUUUGUUUAAACACCAUUUCUAUAUAUAAUCAACAAUAUUAUCCUGAUUAGACUCUUAUUUAUACCCUUGACAUAAUAUAAUUGAUAUGAAAUAUAUCCUAUGUAUUGUAACUGUUAUAAAGAAGACUUUUUUUUCGCUUGAUAUUUGUGCGCUAAUUUGGACCCGAUCGAG
Molecule: long non-coding RNA, 56396 nt
Filed under: Ananas comosus (pineapple)
Lineage: Eukaryota; Viridiplantae; Streptophyta; Magnoliopsida; Poales; Bromeliaceae
Description: long non-coding RNA (ACOM_LNC022602)
Source: RNAcentral